GGCUUGGGCGGUUUGGGUGGUUCAGGUGACUUUUUUGGUGUCGGCUUGGCGACCUCGAUGUUCUUGAUGAUUCUUCCAGCCUUGCACCACAGCUUGCUGGACAGCUUGUUGGCGUCGAAUGGGCCUGUGACGAAAACCUUGUCCUUCUCGUACACGAUCUUCUCGAUGACGAACUCUCCUUCUAUGCCAUGAAAAAGUGAUCAUAUGUAUUAACCGUGAUGAUGAGUCGAUCGAGCAGAUAGACUGAGCUACAGACAUAGUGAUAGUAUAUAUGAUGUGAAUUAUUGAAAGAUGGUGUGCAUGCCUUGUUGGAUGCAGCAGAGGAUCUUCUGGAUCUUGCUGCUGCAGCGGCAGCACUCUAGGUUGACGGUGAUGAUGAGCGUCGCCAUGAUUAUAUCUCUGCAGUAUAUCAACAAAAAAAAUAUGCAAUGAACCAGGCAACAAUGCAGGUGAUUUCUUCCGACGAGCAGAGCAUCUCUGAUUCUCUGCUGUAAGCUGUUUCAGAGGACCACCUCAGAUCAAGUGUACGUAGUAAGGCCUAGAGAUUUAUUAUUUGAGCUCACCUUUGCUUUGCAAGCCGGCCGACGACUCUGAAGAAAAAUGCAGGUGAGAUUUCCGAUCGAUGAGCAGAGCAGGUGGGUGGAUCCCGGCCGCCGCCGGUGAUGAGUGAUCGAUCAGCGAGGUGCAUCCGUGCGCGUUAUUAUAGCACAAGCACAGGUGCGCCUAGGAAGCAUUUGGUGGGGGGAUCACAUCCGGAUGGUUGGGGACUUUGAAUGCCGUUUGGAACCAAGGAUGGCGAAAGCCACAGACCGUGUCGACGGCUGCGAUUCCCAUUGUUUUGUUUGGAUGCUGCGUGAUCGACCGAUCCCAGGGCUGAGAACGGCAGCCCCGUCCAUUCACGGGCGCAGUGCCCGGCCGCUCGAUCGAAUUUGGUGCCCUUGACAUCCUUUUCCCUUAUCUCGUGAUCUCGUCCUAUACUCCCUCCAUAUCAUGAAGGUAGAUGUUUUAGGCAUUGGUGUUGAUUUCACAUUAGCUGACGUUCUGAGUGCUUAGGCGAAAACCGGACUUAUUUGCCCCUGGCUCUUUAGCUGCCCUCAGCUGCACAGCAUUAAUGCGCAUGCAUGCACUCACCAGUCGUUGCCCCGCUUCAAAGCUAAGCACGCGCGCAACCUCCUCCACGCGAUGCAUGCAAAAAAUUAUGCAGCCAAGGGGGUUCGAACUGGGGAUACACUGGCAUCAAGUUGCGCGAUGCAAGUCAACUGAGCUAGUGUAGUUUGUUGUUUAGAUAGCACGCACACUGCUAUUUAAUAAGGGUAAAGAUGGAAAGUUAAUCUCUAAUUAAUCACUCCUUGGUUAUCACAAUCAUGUCUUAAACAUCUACCUUCAUGAUAUAGAGGGAGUAUAUCUUUGCUUUUCUUCGAAGGAGAAGGAAAUUGUCAAGAAGAGACUAAGUACAUGAAUGUUGGUGGAAGUGCGCGAGCAAAUAGCAAGGUUGGAGUACGAGUUUGCAAUAGGUAAGUCGUCGGAUUAGUUGCCGCUCGGUGGUUGUACUUAAUGCGUGCCUCCUGCUACGAGGACGACCCCCAUGUGCACAAUGAGAUCAUACCCUGUAGAAUGAUUUGUACUUACAUACUCCUAGAAGCAAAGAAUAUAUGUUUAACUGUUAGUUCUUUUGCAAAUACAAUUGUGAUGAUAUCAUAUAAACGCACAAAAAUUGUUUAUAAGGCAUCUCCAAAAGAGCCAUGAAUUCUUCGCAAAACAAAACGUAUCAUGUAUGUUAGCUCAUACUCGCUCUAUCUAAGCCAUAAGACACUUUUGAUUUUCGUGAUACGUACAUAUAGCUUUUUUCUACGUACUUAAAUAUAUUUACUAUACAUAGUAAAAUCGAAAUAUUUAGAAAAGUCAAAACAUCUUAUAAUCUAAGAUAUGGAGUGAUUAGAUUCCAUGUCAUCAGUCUUUCAUAUAUAUACGAGGAGAGAAUGGAAGAGUUGGCUCUUAAUGAUAAGCUAGUCUCUUGCAUAUCUUUGAAUGUUUAGCGUGUCAACACUUAGUCCUCACUACAAAAAAAAAUAAUUUUUAGAUGCGCCUUUUGGCCCUUCUUAUUUCAGACGCAGCUAAAAAAGAUUUCUGAAAAUAGGUGUAACACUCAAGCAGCCACUAAAAAUAAGUGUAACAUAGUAAAAUUUAAAUAGGACAAAGCCAAUAUCACGGAACUGCUGGACCCAAAAAGCUCUAGGGUGUUCUUGACUAGAGCCAACAAAUAGAAGGAAGGCACGGAUGAGAUCAGGAUCCCGCGCAACAGAGAUUCCAGAACAGACAAUCAAUAGGGACGUGAGGCCGAGGGUGGUGCCACAUAACCGUGCCAUAAUGAGUUCAGUAGUGAGGGAUAGGGCUAUGCCCUCCACCAUCUUCGCUGACAGGAGACACCAUGGAUGACCUCCUACAGGUGUCAGAUCUUGACCACACCUUGAUUGAUAUGGGGAUGAAGGAGGAGACAUGGGCCAAGGAGCUAGCAUCUUCCUCAACCUUGUGGGCAAGGCUGUAGACUCAUGAGGAUGUGGCAGUCGCACAGUCAGGUCUAAGUGAGAGCGGCUCCACCUUUUUAAGAGAUGGCCAAAAUUGAUUUUCGAAGGCAGGCAGCUCAUUCUCCUCCGAGCUAUCACCUCUGUUAAUUGAGAUUUACUUAAUUGGCACAAUUGCCCACCUCCCUUAAUCUAGAUUUUCACAGAUUGCACAAUUGCUUGCCUCCAUAUACAGAACUCAGAAAACAAAAAUUAAAAACUGCUAGCGAGCCCGUUGAGCGAAUUGAGCCCGUGGAGCCCGCUAAAGAGCCUGUCUCAGCAGUCCACUUGGUUGUUAUCGUCAUAGCCCAUUAUUGAUGGGGAGGCAGUGGUGGUGGAUUUGUUGUUGCUACGUGGAAGCAUGUGCUGGCCGGAUCCGACACCAUCAAUAGGACCUCAACAGUCGAUGCUCUAUUGUGGAUAUAUAGUGUCGUUGACGCUCUGCCAUCGUGGAUCCACAUGACACGCUAGGGAUUGGGAGAUCUGAAGCCGCAAGGAUAUCAUGUGAGCUCCACUACAGGGAUCCACAAGAUCUGCUAUUGCAAGGACAAGCUCUGCCGCCGGGCACGCGAUGCGGGCCAUGAGAGCUCCACUGCUACGGGAAUAAACCCCUAUACCCAUACGGCUAGACUUGGGCCAGAAAACUUGGUCCAUCAUGAGGCAGACUCGGGUUUGAUCCAACUGCUCGGAGUCUCACGAAAGGAAACAAGAUGUGGAGAUCGAAGAGGAUUCUAGUCGGUUAGAGUAGGAAUUGAUAUCGUGUUAUCUAUGGCAAUUGUAACUGACUAGAAUUAGUUUCCAGAUUUGUAACCCUGCCCUUCGGACUAUAUAAGGAGAGGCAAGGGAACCUCCUAGAUCAAUUCAUCUCAACACAAUCCAAUACAAUCAGACGCAGGACGUAGGUAUUACGCCCACAUGGCGGCCGAACCUGGAUAAAAACCUUGUCUGUGUCUUGCGUCACCAUCAAGUUCGUAGCUUGCGCACCGUCUACCGAUAAAUUUCUACCGUGGGUAUACCCCAAGGUAGACUGCCGACUAGCUUUCGUCAACAGUGGCGCGCCACGUAGGGGAUGUGCGUACAGCUCUUCCGACGAACAAGAUGGUCAUCAUUCCAGCUUCCGCAGCCGUGGCUGAAGGCCUCACGUUCACCAUCGGCCAGAUCACGUGGACAACUCAUGGCGGCGGCCUCACGACCACGACUUCGGAAGAAGCCCAGAUCCAAUCUACGGCAGCAGAGGCGUCGACUCCGAUCACGCCAACUCCGAGCACCCGACCUCCACUCCCUCAUUACAGGGUAAAGAGGGUCGACAACUCGGAUCUUCUCCAAGCCCUUGAUCGCGCCGACCUCAGGCUUCUCGAAGCCUCCAACCUGGUGGAUUUCAUCUCGCGCGAAUCUGAUCAGGCGGCGUCAACAAAUUUUUUCGACUCCUGCUGGCCAACUCGUGUCACCACGCACGAACAGCUGGAGACGUCCCUAACAAUAACGUCGUCCCCCAUGGGACGAUCUGUCAAGCUCAAGACAGCUUCCCCAGACCAAAAUUGGCCUUAUGGUCUGAACAACACGGCCGACCAGUAUUCGCGGCAUACACGAUCUCUGUUCAGCAAGGCGGGUUUUUCAUCACGCCCGAGCAGCCGAGCAGCUCGCCAUUACGUCAACAUGUUAUCCAUCCGCGUCUUGCCAGACAAUAAGGCUACCAGUACGAACUCCAGCACAGGGUCCGUCCCUACCGAGGUUCUACACUCCAAGGACGAAGACUACGACCUGGAUCUACCACCAUACCCUCCGGGUUUUUUUCGUUUUCCAGUCUUCUCGCCUCGAAGAGGAGAUCUGAUUUUUAACGUCAGCAUUGACGAACCAGUUGUCGAUGGCGAAACCGACGAGCAAAAGCAACUUCGCGAGCAGCGCAAUGCCGAUCGUGCUCAGCGUCGAGCGGACGAGGAACGGCAACUUGCGCCACAAAACCUCAGCGAUGCUUUCAACAUGGUCGGGAACCAGACAGUCUACAAGACGCCAAGCGUUAACGUGGCUGUCGCCAUGGCAAACCUGGACCGGUUCCCCGACACCCUGGAAUACUAGGGUAUCCGAUCCAGCAUACGAGCACACCUGAUCGCCGCAAUGGGGCAGACGGCCACUUUGCUCAAAAGAGUCCGAGCCGUUUCCUACACAGAGGUCUCCUCCGACUAGACUCAUCGCAGCCGGACUUCACCACGACCCAGUGGGCGCCAUCAUAGCCGCUCCCCCAACGGCCGCAGGAAGGACGUAGGACGCGACAACCGUGGUCAGGACACCGGCGGUUACCGCGAGCAGAGGCGCGGGCGUGGUCAGGAAGUAAACCAGGACAGGGAUCUACAAUACAACAUCCCUCCUAAGGACUCCCGCGAUCUCAUCAACAGGCGUGCUACGGAAAGAGCGGUACACGAAAACCUAUGACGCAUUGAGUACGAUGCAGCACAUGGCCCUCCCGGCUUAAGGCAGUUUUCUUCACGCCUUCGCCAAGUUGUAUGGCCCCGCAACUUUAAGCUCGAGAAGCUUAAAAAAUAUGAUGGCAAGGAAAACCCUGAAAAUUGGAUCACUCUUUACAAGAUCGCGGUCCGAUCUGUAGCGGGAGACGAGCACGUCAUGGCAAACUACUUCCCAGUAGUCCUCGACCAGGCUGGUCAUCAAUGGCUCCUCGGCCUACCCGAGGACUCCUUCGAUUCUUGGGAGGAGUUGCGCCAGGCGUUAAUUGACAAUUUCAUUGCUACCUGCGAGCAGCCCGGAAACAAAUACGAUCUCGAGAGGAUAAGAGACAGGAAGAAUGAACCUUUGCGUGAUUACAUCCGAUGUUUCUUGGAUAUGCGCCUCAAGAUUCUGAAGAUUUCUCAUGACGAGGCUAUAUCGGCCUUCAUCAAGGGUCUACGCUUUCAUGAAGCACUGCGAAACAAGCUACUGCGCAAAAGACCAGCCACGGUCGCCGAACUCCUCGCCACGGCCAAAAACUACGCUGAUGCCAACGACGCAGAAAAACUCAUCCGAGAAGAUGCGAGAGACGCCGACCAGCCUCCACGACGAGAUGACAGUCGUGGACGCUUCGACAACCGGAACCCCUGUCGCAGUUACAACCGCGACCACCGAGAAGGUUGGGACAGGCGACACGACAACCACGAUGAUUUCAGAGGCAAGCGACCUCGUGACAAUGACCACGAGGUGAACACAGUCAAGCGCCCCAAUGGACGGCGAGACUGCCAAGAGGACUACAACAAGACGCUAAAAGGACCAUGCCAACUCCAUCCCAAGUCCAAUCACACGAUGGAAGAAUGCCGUGUCCUCAAAAGCAUCUGCACACAGCGGGCUGCUCGGGGGGAUUCCGUCAACAAAAACGGGAAACAAGACAGACAUGGUCACGAAGACGAAGACGACGACCAGGAUAGGGACCCACGACACAAGUAUGUCAGUCCCACCGAUAUGGUGCACUCCAUCUUCGGAGGCGAAGUUUCCAUAAAGUCUAAACGAGAAAGAAAGCUCCUGAAGAGAGCCUACCUCAAUGUGGAUAGCGCAGACGGCCUGAUCGCUGACCCAAAAUUCCCUCCCUGGUCACACAGAGAGAUCUCUUUCAACAGGAAGGACCAGUGGGCCGCAAUCCUAGAGCCAGGGCGUUUUCCUCUAAUCCUGGACCCUUGCAUCAACAGCGUCAGAUUCGAGCGCGUGGUUGUCGAUGGGGGCAGCUCCAUCGAUAUUCUUUUCCGCAACAACUUACCUGCCCUCAAGCUAACCCCAGCACAGCUGAAGCCGAAUGACGCUCAGUUCUGGGGCGUCCUGCCAGGUCAAAGUUCAGUACCCCUUGGGAAGAUAACACUGCCCGUCCAGUUCGGAACACCAGACCACUUCCGCACAGAGUUUGUCAACUUUGUGGUCGCCGACUUCGACGGUACCUACCAUGCCAUUCUAGGCCGCCUAUCGUUGACCAAGUUCAUGGCAGUCCCACACUACUCAUACCUGGUCCUCAAGAUGCCAACCGAGAAGGGUGUUUUAACCGUCAGAGGCAACGUCUACACCGCAUACACUUGCGAGGAGGAAAGCUUCAAGAUCACUGAGGCGAUCGACCUCUCAAUUCGCAUAGCAGAAACUACAGCUCAAGCCACACAAAUUCCCCUCGACCAGCUCCAAAUACCCGAGCAGGAAGCUCCCAAGAAAAGCUCUAAGUCCAAAGAGCAUAAAGAAGUACAGCUGGUCAACGGCAGCCCCGACAAGACCGCUCUCAGCGGGGCCAAUCUGGACCCCAAAUAGGAAGACGCGCUCGUUAGGUUUCUAAGGGACAAUGUAAGCGUUUUCGCAUGGAAACCCGCAGACAUGCCUUGCGUCCCACGAAACCUAAUCGAGCACUCCUUAAACAUCUCGAAGACCGCAAGACCCAUCAAGCAAAAAUUACGACGGUUCGCUCGUGACAAAAAGGAGGCUAUUAGGACAAAUAACACAGCUACUAGCAGCCGAAUUUAUUAAAGAAAUGUAUCAUCCUGAUUGGCUUGCCAAUCCAGUCCUUGUAAGAAAAAAGAAUAAUGAAUGGAGAAUGUGCGUUGAUUACACUGAUCUCAAUAAACACUGUCCUAAAGAUCCUUUCGGUCUCAACUCAACGGCCGGAUGCGAACUCCUGUCUUUUCUCGACUGCUACUCUGGUUAUCAAAAGAUUUCUCUAAGGGAAGACGACCAGAUUAAAACUUCCUUUAUCACUCCUUUUGGUGCAUAUUGUUACACCACCAUGUCCUUUGGACUGAAAAAUGCUGGGGCCACCUACCAACGCACUAUUCAACAGUGCCUCCGCGACGAGAUACAGGACGACCUCAUCGAGGCCUAUGUUGACGACGUUGUCGUCAAAACCAGAGACGCGAGCACCCUGAUCGAUAACUUGGACCGCACUUUUAAAGCACUAAAUAAAUACAAGUGGAAGCUUAAUCCCAAAAAGUGCAUCUUCAGGGUCCCCUCUGGCCUAUUGCUCGGAAACAUCGUCAGUCGCGACGGCAUACGACCGAACCCCUCAAAAAUUAAGGCAGUGCUCGAUAUGCGACCACCCAAGAACGUCAAAGACAUUCAAAAGCUCACCGGAUGCAUGGCCGCUCUCAGCCGGUUCAUCUCUAGGCUGGGGGAAAAAGGCCUCCCCUUUUUCAAGCUUCUGAAAGCGUCGGAAAAAUUCUCCAGGUCAGAGGAAGCUAACGCUACGUUCACCCAGCUCAAAACCUUCCUCACCUCACCACCUGUUCUCACUGCACCUCAGCCCAACGAGGACCUGCUCCUUUAUAUAGCAGCGACUGAUCGGGUCGUCUCCACCGUGCUCGUGGUCGAGCGAGAUGAACCAGGCCACGUCUACAAAGUCCAGAGGCCCGUAUACUUCAUAAGCGAAGUCUUAAACGAAUCCAAGACCAGGUACCCUCAGAUACAAAAGCUAAUCUACGCCAUCUUAAUCACCUCAAGAAAGCUGAAGCACUACUUUGACGGACAUCGGGUGCUAGUUACGACCAGUUUUCCACUGGGGGACAUCCUGCGCAACAAGGACGCCAAUGGAAGAAUUGUAAAGUGGGCAAUGGAGCUAUGCCUAUUUUCCUUAGACUUUCAGAGUCACACCACCGACAAAUCUCAGGCCCUGGUCGAUUUCAUCGCAGAAUGGACGGAUCUAAACGAGCCUCCCUCCCUAGAUGUCUCCGACCACUGGUCAAUGUUCUUUGACGUUGACGGGUCAUUGAACAUCAAUGGAGCCGGUGCUGGAAUACUUUUCGUGUCACCCAACAAGGACAAACUCCAUUACGUCCUUAGGAUCCUCUUUCCGGCAUCCAACAACGUCGCUGAAUACGAAGCAUGUUUGCAUGGCAUCCGAUUGGCUGUUGAACUAGGAGUCAAACGCCUUUACGUCAUCGGUGACUCUGCCCUAGUCAUCAAUCAGCUAAACAAGGAGUGGGACACGACUCACGAGAAGAUGGACCUCUACUGCAAGGAAAUCCGGAAGUGGGAAUCCAAUUUUUAUGGCAUAGAAUACAUCCACGUGGUUCGGGAUAGGAACCAAGCAGCGGAUGCGUUGUCAAAGAUAGGAUCAUCUCGGGCCCAGAUUCCACAAGGCGUUUUCGUCCAGGACAUUCACACGCCAAGCGUCGGCACAGACCUAGUCGACAAGCCACCCAACGAAGCAAUGCUCAUCGACGAUACCACCCCGGCAACCAGCAGCAACGACUGGCGCACUCCUUUCAUCAAGUAUUUCUCGGUUGGUUCGGGUUUCAAGAUAAAACGGAGAACGAGCGCCAUAUCCUGUGAUCUAGAAAUUACAUACUGGUCGAUGGCAAACUUAUGCGUAAGAACGCAAGUUCAGAAGUCCUGCUGAAAUGUAUAUCCCAAGAUGAUGGCGUCAAGCUUCUGGAUGACAUACACGCUGGGUCCUGUGGCAACCACGCCGCUUCCAGAACACUGGUCGGGAAGGCUUUCCGGGCAGGUUUUUACUGGCCAACCGCAGUCGCCGACGCCGAGAAGCUGGUCCGACAUUGUGAAGGAUGCCAGUUCUUCGCCAAGCGGACCCACGUACCCGCUCACGAGAUCCAGACGAUGCCGUCAUCCUGGCCGUUCGCCUGUUGGGGCCUCGACAUGAUCGGGCCAUUCAAGCCGGCCCCCGAUAACUUCAAGUUCGUGCUCGUGCUAAUCGACAAAUUCUCGAAGUGGAUCGAGUACAUGCCACUCGUCAAGGCGACUUCCGAGAAGGCUGUGGAGUUCCUCAAUCAAAUCAUACAUAGAUUCGGGGUUCCCAACAGCAUAAUCACUGACCUUGGCACUCAGUUCACCGGUACUACAUUCUGGGACUUCUACGAUGACAGAGGCAUAGUCAUAAAGUACGUAUCGGUAGCGCACCCACGGGCCUACGGUCAGGUGGAGCGAGCAAAUGGAAUGAUUAUCGAUGCUCUAAAGAAAAGGCUGUACACGGAAAAUGACAGAGCACCGGGUCGAUGGAUAAAAGAGUUGUCGGCCGUGGUCUGGGGUCUCCGAACACAGACUAGUCGCAACACGGGUGUAUCGCCCUAUUUCAUGGUUUACGGCGCCGAAGCCGUGCUUCCUUCAGACGUGGUCUUCGGAUCUCCAAGAGUCGAACAUUUUGACCAGUCUUUAGCCGACCUCGCUAGAGAGCUCGAAAUCAACUGCACAGAGGAAAAGCGCCUAAAUUCAUGCCUCCGAACAGCGAAGUAUCUCAAAGCCAUUAGGCGCUACCACAACAGGAACGUCAAAGACCGCUCCUUCGUGGUCGGUGAUCUGGUACUCAAGUGGAAAACAAGCCAGGAAGGAAUGCACAAGUGGUCUACACCUUGGGAAGGACCCUUUGUGGUCGCCGAAGUCACACGCCCUACAUCUUACAGACUGGCGUACCCAGAUGAAACACGCUUGCCCAACUCCUGGCACAUAGACAAACUGCGCCGUUUCUAUCCCUAAGUUCCAGUACAUUUCAUUUGUAAAUCUUUUAUGAUGAGUAAUAAUAAAAUUUGUCUUUCUUGCUAUAUAAUUUUUCAUACGCAGAAUAUUCGACAAGUGCUACAAUUACUUUCAAGGACAAAGGUCCUGAGAGGCCGUCAUUUUGACUCAGUGAUACAUCACUCAAACAAUAUUACAGCGCUCAAAACCAUGGUCAUGAUAAACUAAGCUUUAUUACAAACUUUAUACACAAAGUUUACAAUAAUCACCCCUCUGGGCGGUCUCUAGUCUACUCCUACAGACUAUUUUACAGGCCUACUGCUCGGGCUGAUCACCUGCACGGCUCUGCUGUCCAGUCGAACACUACAAGGAUUGUCCCCUAAUGCUACCCCACACGACUGCAACACCACUGGUUUGGUUGCCAUUAGGGGGUCGUGUUGCAACCUUUCCAUAAAAUGGUUGCAAUUUGUGCCUAUAAUGCAACGGACUAAAUAUGUUGCAAUAUGUAUGGUUUGUCGUUGUAACAGACAUGUGGUACUACAACUAUUUAAGAAUUGUGUUGCAAUUAGUUGUUAUUAUUGCCAUGGAGCUUUUGAGUUGCAUUAGUAUUGAUUUUCAUUGCAAUUAGUUGGUGUUAUUGCAACUAUAUUAGAUGUGGUUGCUUUUGCUUGUAAUUAUUGCCACGAUUGUUUUGGGAAGCAAUAUUCUUCGGCAGUGUUGCAAUUGCUAGGUGGUUAUUGCAACAAGAAUCCUGAAUGGGUGCAAUAGCAUGUUCCUAUUGCUAUGGUUUUUUAGGGUUGUAAUAAUCUUGUGUGGCGUUGCAAUUGUUAGAUAUAUAUUGCGACUCUAAUCCUAAAUAGACGCAAUAUCAUGUUACUAUUGCCAUGAUUUUUUUGUGUUGCUAUAAACUCAGGGCCCUUUAUAAACAUGAUAAAAAAUAAUACUUGAUGGAUAUAUAUAUAUAUAUAUAAGUGUUAUUCUACAACCUAGGUGUAGAAUAUAUUCUACACCAAAGUAUUGUACUGAACAAAAUUCAGUAUUGUUCAGUACCCGUGUUUCAGUAUUAUUCAGUAUUACGUUGUUCAAUAUUGCUCAGUAUUUUUUCUGUUCAAUUUUGACUUGCGGUGUAGAAUAAUAUUCUACACCUAGAGUGUAGAAUAGCGUUGUCGUGUGUGUGUGUGUAUAUAUAUAUAUAUAUAUAUAUAUAUAUAUAUAUAUAUAUAUAUAUAUAUAUAUAUAUAUAUAUAAAAUUCAGUCACACUGAAUCCAGAAUUCAGAUAAAAUAAUAAAAAAAUUCCUGUAACUGUUACAGACGCUUACUACGAAACACGCGUCUGAAAACACGGGUAGGCGUUGAUAUGACACUGAAUCAUGUUAGCUAUCAAAUGACUAUGGUUAUAUAUUGUUACAUUAAGUGGUAGGCGUUGAUAUGACACCCUUACUGUAUAAUGACUACCUUGUCCACCUUAAACUUUACCAAAGUAGGUUGUCUGUACAGACGAUUUAUACCAACACGCGUCUGUAUAUAUUGUCAUCACAGACGAGCUUAAGCGCGUCUGUAACAGUUUCGUAAUUACAGAAGCGUUCGUACAGACACGCGCAAACGCGACUGACAAACUCUGAACGCGCGUCUUAAAUCUUCGGUUCUGACAUAGUGAAAAGUCGUUGUCAAUAUUGUUGAUGGAAGACGUGCAUGCAUAGCGUAUUUGCUUUUGGGCUCACCUUAUUUGCCUUUUCGACUCUAGCGAAUUUGUUUUUUGGGCCAAAAUAAUAUACUCCAGUACUAAUUCUAAUAAUAUAGUUUCUAAUAGUACUAGUAAUACACACGUAUAUUGGAGGGGGCCUAGUUACGUGGAGGCCUGUUGUGGCUGCCCUGUUUUCUCAAUGCUAAUAAAAAAGAAAAGGCCCAACGAAUGAGAACGAACAGAUGAAACAUGUCGAGAGGUUUGGCUUCUGAGUUCCAGCGGCCGCGGCUCUCCAUCGGAAGUCUUGAUUGUUCUCUCCGAGUUUCUCCAUUGCCGUGAUCCUAUCGCCGCUACAUUAGUAUUGGUAAAUACCCAAUACAGAAGUAGCGUAGGUCUCAGGUUCAGGUCUCUAGGAUUCGACUCAACUGGUGUUGCCCUAUUCCGCAAACGCACGGCGCCGCGGCCGCUGGACGCAACGCCUAGUCGGGACUAAAAAGGAGGUAAUCUUCGGCUCCCUGAUUAUUCUAUUCGAUCUGAUCCUAUCAAUCAUCAGUGACCAGUGAUCUGUCCAUGGCCUCAUCAGUAUUCCGUCAUCACGCAAUGUCUAUUUGAUGAACUUUGAGAUAGUAUAUAUAAGUUUUUUUUAGUGUAUGGGAUAUUAUUUAAAUUGGUAUUAUUUUUUGAAAGUGUACUAUAGGCCUCUAUAUUAGUUCUCUACCUAGGCCUACAAAAACUCAGGACCGGCGCUGAGUGUGAUACCGUUUAUUUGCCCAAUUGCUCCAAAUUCCCUUUGCUGAUCUUCAAAAAUAAACAAUGUUUACUUUAUCUCCAAUUAUGUAUUUAUUUAUCUCCGAUGUUUAUUCUGUAGAGGUCAAAUUUGGUAAUCCCCUACGUCGCACGGUUCAAACUGGUGCAGUGAUGUUUAUUCUUUAGAGGUCGAAUUUGGUAAUCCCCUAUGUGUCACAUGGUUUUUCAAACUGCAUACGUGCAGUCCGGGCAUUGUGAUGUAAGGGCUAAGACUAUUUAGUGGAUAAUAAUUAUCUCAAGUUGUGAACUAGGUAAUUUACAAACUUUUUAUACCUCUGCAUAUAUAUAUAUGCUAGCUGACUGUUUAUAUGUACUUUUAUUUUUUAACAUAUUUAAUAGAACUAUAAUUUGUUUUUGUUUGAUGUGGUCAUCGUCAUGCAGAAUAUAUAAUGUCACAUGAAGAUAGGAGUUGGAUGCGCUUGCCUCGUUCUUCAACUGACUGGCAGCAGAAACUCCGACAAUUUCUGGACAUCACAUUUGGUGGCACAUCGAGAGGUGGAACUGCUCCGUGUCCAUGUCCUAGAUGUGUAUGCAUGUCAUAUAGACCACAGUCUGAGGUUCAGCUUCAUGUGCUUGCUAGAGGGUUUGCUGAAAGCUUUAUCAAGGAAGGGGAAGGCUCAGAUGUGGGAUUAUACAACCAAGAUGUACAUCCAGCUGAUGUAGAAGUACACAAUGACGCACCACUACCAACUAAUGUAGAAGCAGACAACAAAGCGAUAGCAGAAGAAGUUGGAGAUGACAAUAAUAAAGAAAGCACACCGAGUGAGGACCAUGGUGCCACUCAUUUGGUUAGAUCCCUGAUAAGAGGUGCUAUACAUGGAGAGAUCAUAGAUACUGAUAACAAUGAACAGCCAAAUGAACAUGUCAAGAUCUUUUUGAAAUUAUUACAGGAGGCAGAAAAGCAGUUGUAUCCAGGUUGCACGGAUGCUACUAAGGUCUCUUUUAUUGUGGAACUUUUUCAGGUUAAGUGCUCGACUGGUAUGAGUAACCGUGCAUUGGAGGCAGUACUUAAUCUUUUCUCAAGGUUUCUACCAAAAGGCCAUUGUGUCCCAGACACAAUGGAGAAAGUGCAAAGGGUGGUUCGAGAUCUAGGCUUGGACUAUGUAAAGAUAGACGCUUGUGAGAAGGACUGUGUAUUAUUUUGGAAGGAAAAUACAAAUCUAGAUACAUGUCCCAAAUGUGGUGAAUCUAGGUGGAAAACGUCUGACGGCGGUGCUUAUGAUCAGAGGGGCGAUGCAGAUGGUGGUGCUGAUAGAACAAAUAAGAAGCGUGUCCCACGUAAAAUCCUACGGUAUUUUCCUCUUACUCCUCGGCUGCAAAGAUUAUAUACGACAGAGAGCACAUCUUCACAAAUGUGAUGGCAUAAGGAAGAAUUAAUCAAUGAUGGCAAAAUGCGUCACCCAGCUGACUCAAAGGCGUGGAAGCACGUGGAUGCACAGUAUGAUUGGUUUGCAAAGGACGCUCGUAAUAUUAGACUGGGUCUUGCUUCUGAUGGCUUCAACCCCUUUGGUAUGCAAAAUGUUACAUACACCACAUGGCCUGUUAUCUCAAUACCUUACAAUUUGCCUCCUUGGUUGUUUGAGAAAGAACCUUAUUGGAUGAUGUCGAUGUUGAUACCUGAUAAAAAAUCUUCUGGAGUGAACAUUGAUGUAUAUUUGAGGCCCCUCAUUGAUGAGCUCAAGGAGCUUUGGGAAAAGGGUAUUGAUACAUGGGAUGAUAAAGUAAAGAAGAAUUUUAAACUACAUGCUAUUCUGCUUUGGACAAUGACUUUCCUGCAUAUGCGAUGCUUUCUGGCUGGAGCACAAAAGGCAAAUUUGCAUGUCCAUACUGCCACAAGGAUACAGAUUAUUUGUGGUUGAAAUUUGGGAACAAGCACUGCUACAUGGGGCAUCGUCGUUUUUUGCCCGCAGACCAUCCAUGGCGCAUGAACACGAUCAGCUUUAACAAUGAGGUGGAAACUAGGGAGGCUCCAGUGCCAUUGUCUGGUCAACAGGUAUUGGAGCAGUAUGAAACUUUUGAUCAAGUGAAUUUUGGAAAGACAACAUCAAAAAAGAGGAAGCGUGAUGAAGAUAAAAGAUGGCACAACUGGAGAAAGAAGAGUAUUUUUUUUGAGCUUCCUUACUGGUCUUCUUUGCUCAUAAGGCAUAAUUUGGACGUGAUGCACAUCGAGAAAAACAUAUGUGAGAGCAUAUUGGGUACUUUGCUUGAAAUUGAAGGUAAAUGUAAGGACAGUGAGAAUGCCCGGCUUGACAUGGAACAACUAGGGAUAAGGCAAGAUCAGCACCCUGUGAUUGACAAUGACAGAUAUACCUUGCCACCAGCCUUGUACUUUUUAGAUAAGGAUGAUAAGAAAAUUUUAUGUCAAUUUCUACAAGGAGCAAAGAUGCCUGAUGGGUUUAGCUCCAAUAUAAGGAGAUGUGUUGAUGUAAAUGCAUGCAAGUUAUCUGGACUCAAAACUCAUGACUGCCAUAUUAUUCUACAGAAAUUGUUGCCCUUAGUCAUCAGAAAGAUUUUACCAGAAGAUGUUGUCACACCAUUGAUUCAGCUCAGUAGGUUCUUCACUAAACUUUGUUCGAAGCAGCUGAUGGAAGAUGAUCUUGAAAAACUUAGUACUUCAAUUAAAGAGACUCUUUGUCGGCUUGAGAUGGUAUUCCCACCUGCGUUUUUUGAUAUCAUGAUUCAUUUGCCGGUUCAUCUAGCUGAGGAGGCUAAAUUUGGAGGGCCCGUGUGUUAUAGAUGGAUGUAUCCAGUUGAGACGUAUCUACGUACUAUUAAAGACUAUGUGAGGAACAAGGCACACCCAGAAGGUUCAAUAGCUGAGGCAUACAUAGCCGAUGAGUGCCUUACAUUUUGCUCUAGAUUCUUGGAUGUCGACAACAAGCUAAAUCACGCUGAUCGUCGUGAAAGCACAACUGUGAAUGAGCCGUUGUCUAGUGUGAGCAUAUUUGGUGAAAUAAACUACAAGAGGAGAGGAAAGACUAUUGAGACUUUUGGUGGAGAUGAGGUUCGGAAAAUGAGGCACUACAUAAUUAGUAACUGCGAUGAAGCUAGACCAUGGGUCGAGUAAGUUGCAAUAUACCAUCAUUAAUUAUUGUAUAAUUUAUUUGUGGCAUCAACUAAUUAAUUGGCUAUUUCGAUGUAGGAAGCACAUGGAAGAACUCAAAAUAAAUAGUAUAAGGAAUCUUAAUAAACGACAUGAAGAGCACUUUGUAAGGUGGUUCGAGGACAAGGUUGGUUCUAUUUAUUUAUUUUUUAUUCCAUGCGAUGGUUAGUACAAUAUACUAAUUAACAGAGACAUUUGUUUUCAAUCUGAGCUUUCAGAUCACCAAACUAUAUGAGAAAGGGGAAGUAAGUGAACUGAUGUAUGCCCUUUCUCAAGGACCAUACCCUCGACCUCAUGUGUUCAAUAGGUGCUACAUCAAUAACUGGCUAUUUCGAACGACAGCCAUUGAGAGAAAUCUCGUCACACAAAACAGCAGUGUGCUUGUGAGGGGUGAUGGUACUACUGGCAACAUGACCUGGUAUGGAGUGAUUAGAAGAAUUAUCUCACUCGAAUUCCCUAUGGAGAAAGAAGUUGUAUUAUUUCAGUGUGAUUGGUAUGAUGUGCCGGCUGCCAGUACUAGCAGAAGUAGAGGAUACAGUAGGGAUAAAUAUGGUGUUAUUGAUAUCGAUACUUCCAGGUUCCGAUAUUCAAGUGAACCUUACAUUCUUGCGACAUAGGCUGAACCAGUGUUUUUUGUCAACCUCGUGAAAAAGCCAAGAUGGUCAAGUGUUGUCGCGGUGAGACCAAGAAAUUUGUUUGCCAUGCCAGAGGCAGAAAAUGAGGGUGACAUCGAAGUUCAUCUAAUUGAUGUGGGAAUCGAAGACAUCAAUUUAGUAAGCCCAAAUGAGGAUUUAUCAAAUUGGACAAGAGUAGACAAGGAAGGCACAACUGGUGAUUCCUCCAUUAUUAAUCAGGUGCGUGGCAAAGCAGUUCCUGAACCAAAUGAUGCGGUCUUACUUGAUGAGGAUGAUGACGACGAAGAUGACACCUACAUUGAUGAUGGAGUUGUUGCUCCAGUUGUGGUAGAAAGCCUAGAAGACGAUUUCUUUGUUUAAAUACUUUUUUUGUUCAACUGUGACGCGUACUGUAGUUGAUCCUCUCUGUAUCCUCGCUGAUUGUUGAUCUUCAGAGCACAGAACUAAAAUAAAAUACAAUGCACUAUUUAGAGGUGUGCGUUUGAAGCUUUCAAGUAACUGUAGGCUGAUUGGUUGCUGUCUGAUUGCUUGCUGGCAUAAGCAGUAGUGCAGUACUAUUCAGACGGCAGCAUAUCUAUUAUUUUGCUCCAUCCAGACAUAUCUCAAUCUAAAUUCCUAACUUCAAUUCCUUUCUUAUACUCUUCUCAAAUUUCUCACUGAGUUUUAUUUUUUGAAGCAAAACACCUGGAGCUUUGUCUUUCAAUUAAGACUGAAAAGAGAGCUUUCAGACAAAAUACAAUUUACAGCCUAGGAUGCAGUACCACAGCAAACCAGGAUGAAGAUAGGCUUAGAUAGGCCUCAAACAGAACCAAAGCAAAACAACUAGUGUUAUCAUCUUCAUCCCAAAUAACCUUGUAUACAAGUUUCAGAUAAAAAAUUAGAAUGUGCAUACAACAUUUUAUAACAUAUCUAUGAUCAACUCUUACAGAUCAGAACAAAAACUAUUGUCUCAAGUAGUAUAAGAAAAUCGUAUGUCAGUCUAUUUGGGUUCUUUACAACAUGUGCAAAUGUAUCCAUCAACAUAAGUUUACAACAGGCUGAUGUUUCUUCCAAAUGUCAUGUGAAGCUCAUUCAUGCACAGUUGUCCACACUUGAGCAAAUUAUUGUUGCCUUCAGUACCUCUGCUUUUGUUCUGUUUUUCAAUUGGUCUUCUCACAUAUCUCAACUGACUGCAACAUAUAAUAAACGAAUUAUAGAAAAUGGAAGUGUUACCUCUGCAAAGCAAUUAGCAAUGACUUUGUGGAAUUCUGGAGCAAUCGACAAACUAAAAACCCCAAACAAAUUAGCAAACGAUCCACAUCAAAUUCUUGCUUCCUCUACCUCUCUAGCUGUAGAAUUAAUAAAUGGUAAAAUUAAAUUACCAAUCCAUAAACUAAAAAACCCCAAACAAAUCACUGAAUCAGGAUAAAAGCAGUCAGUCAGUUAAAAUCCUUACCUGACGUACAGACGAAGUGAUGCAUGUUGAGGUUGCAGGGAGUCAGGUGGGUUUAGGCCCUUGCUGGACAAUGGGCGACGGCCGAUGGGGAUGACUGAUGCCACUGCCGGCCGAUGACCGCUCUAGAACGAGGCGACGUUGGUGGCAGAGGGAAGGGCGCCGGUGGAGGUUGUGAAUCUGAGAGGGUGGAACCGCGUGUGUCGUGGUCGUAGUCCUUGGUGCCAUCCGUAGGGCCGGUUUCCUCGACUCCAGUGUGGAGUCCUGCUCCUCAAUACCUUGGAUCACGGUGGCCUCUGCGCCUAACAGAUGCAGAAUAGAUGAGCAUUAGCAUAAAGCUGUUGAAUGGGCUCAAAGAUAAUCAGCUCCAGUCCUAUAAAAGUGACGAAAAGGCCAAUAGUUGUAGAAAAAUCUACAAUAGUGUGGUGGUAAAUGAGGCUUAGCUUGAACUCUAGCUCGUUAGUACGAUCCCCCCAUGGAGCAUUUUUUUAUUUUUUUUUUCUAACUACCCAAAAGCCUUUCUGACAUUAUUGCUUUAUUAUUGCUACUUUGACAAUUUUUUUGUGUGUUUUCUUACUGUUUUAUUUAAAAUCGAACUAUCUCCACACACAUUAAACAGAUAUCACUCUACUUUUUUUUGUUUUCUUACUGUUUUAUUUACCAUGGAACUAUCUCCACACACAUUAAACAUGUAUCACUCUAUAUUUAUUAUGCUAUUUUAACUUUGGAUAUCUAUCACUCAUAUCUACAUUGUUUUUAAGUUAUUUUAGCAUCAAUAUGGAAAUUAUAAUUACGAUGGAUGACAACUACUACUGCUUGCUACUCCCUCAAGAUUGGUAAAAGAAGUCGUUUUGGAAAAGGUUUCGGUCAAACAUUUAGAAUAUAAAUCAUAAAUUACUUCAAAUUUGUUGAGUUUGAAAAUAUUAAAAGCAAAUGAAUAGAUUUGUCUGAAAAAAAUACUUUUACAAAAAUAUAGAUAUAUCACUGGAGGGAGUACUACUAACCCUGGAGGGAGGACUAAACAUUUUAUUUUUUAAAAUGUACCGGACCGCUAUACUCUCUAGUUCAGUUUUUUACUGGUCGAAUAGCCAGUUAGGUCUGGUCCUAAUAACUAUGGUGACCACAACUACUACUAGGUAGCCAACGACGGUGCCUGUGAGGUGAAGAGCGUGUAGGUCAUGUCCAUGGUGCUCGGAUUGUAGAGGCAUAGGCCAGGUACGAGUAGAUAUUGGCAAUUAGUGGCAUCACUACGCUGCCACCUUCAGGCUAUACAUGCCUAAGAUGGUCCGCGCCAUCGACAUCGCCACCUUGAUGUGGCCCAAUCCGGCCGCCACUAGCGUCGCAUGAAUGUUCUCCAUGCCCGACGCCACUUUCGCCGCCGAUGCCCAUGCACACGUCGUUGGGUGUGUGCGGUGGGGUUGCUAUUGGGUGAGAAGAAGCGAAAAGUGCGUGGGACGGGGCCGCCUUGGGUUAGCCCUAUCGAACCUUUUAUCGAUGUAUAUUUACAUUUACAAAACAAUUUACUUAGUCUGUUCGAGAUGCUCUAAGGUUCUAGAAUUUAAAAUGUGAUAUUUUAAAUUACCAAGUUUAUUUAAGAUUAUCAAGUUUUUUAAAAAAAUUGUCAAGUUUUUUUAAAAUUCAUCCACGGCUGAUAGCGGCAUAAAAAAAUAUGUCAUAGGGCUCUUGCUGCAAUUUUUUUGAGAAUCGAGCUAACAUUUUGUUUGUUGGAAUUUUAGUAAAACUUAUUCAAAUAUCAUCAAAUCGUUCAUUGACCAUGUUCCUGAUGAAUACUAAUUCAAAUUUCAGAAACCCGCACCGUUGUUACAGAUCCCACCAAAAUUUCCAAAUGAAACUCAGAGGCGGCGUUCUUUGCAGCAAAAUAUCUAGCACCAAAACCCCCACGCCAACAACUGGUCCCACGUUUUUCCCUCCCCACGUUACUUGACUAUUCAUCUCCCACCGUAAUUCUAUCUACUAAUCGUGUAGGAGAGCAGAAAGUCGCAGCCGCCAGGCGCCAGUUAGGGCUUCGAGUCGACCAACAGGGAGAAGAUGGCGACCCCUCCGGAGGGACCGGCGAGAGCGGCAACAGGGACACCUUCAUCGUCGUCGACGCCCACAACUACAGCAGCGACGGCACCUGCGUGCAACACGCCCACACCUGCAUCGUUGCGGGCACCUGCCUCCACAAUGUCCAGACCCAAGGCGACCAUGUCGCUUUUUCGGACACCUUCGUCCAGGACGGAGACACCAUCUGGCGAUGAAGAUGGAGGUGACUCCAGGCGAGGAACAGAAAGCCGCCGGCGUUCCUCUCAGACUGACGACAGGUAAGAGCACAAAAUAUCCCCUCCCCUUCCCUCCCCAAGCACACCUGCUGGUAGAUCAUAUCAUUCUGAAUUUAUUUUAGAAAGAGACUAGAAACAUUGCAUGGCUUUGCCGCACCGUUCAUGGUGUUGGUCGGUGUAUCAUUGAUACGACAGGGUGAGGUACAGGUGUAUAUUUGGUCCCGUUCAUUGUGUUGGCCGGCGUAUCAUUGCUAAUAGGCAGGGUGAGGUAGAGAUGUAUAUUUGGUCACUUCAUUUGCUAUCCAUAUCUGAUUGCAUCGUUUAGUAGUAUAUUAAACCCAUGCUUCGAUCAACCUAGAUCCCAUACUGAGUGCAUAAAUUAUUUAGAGCAAACUGAGUACACAAAUGUUUAAAGUUAAUAGAAGAGUACCAUUCAAAUGAGAACUAGUACAAUAGCAGAGUAGUUGCUCUUUAGUCUUUACAGAGAAGCUAGAAAAGCUAUUUGAUGUGGUCUCUCAUAAUGUAAAAACCAGAGUAGGAAUCACAACUUUAGGAUGAAGAGGUACUCCAGAACUACCCAAUGGUAUUUCUAUUGUGCUCUUCAGAUUUUACCAGCAAUGCCAAAUCUAGUAGUUGAACAAAUAGGAACAACAGUUUAAAUAAUCAGAAUGUAAGUAAUGAAAUAUGGGAACCGAUUGCAGCUUACAUAUAUAAAUUUCAAAAUCUACUUUAGCUGCAUAAGUUUGCAUCCAUUAAACACGAAAUUAUUUUUUAAGGCUUUUCAAGGAAUAAGAAGCUGUAUGAUAGAUUGACCCCACAACAGAUGAGUGGUGUAUAAUGUUUUCCUAGAUUUUCUAGUUGAAAAUGUUGAUCUUAAUGUUCUUUGAGCAUUUUAAAGCAUGGAACAAAACCAUUACUACAUUUUAGCGCUUGUAGUGCUGUAUCUUGGCAAGCUACAGCCACCGAGAAAGUAAAUGAUAUAUUUAGUUUCAUUCUUAUUUGUCCCAUGUUCGGGUGGCAUUGGUCCCUAUGUGCCUGUCCUACUACUAGCAUGAUUUAUAUUACUGCUGCAGCUGCCAUCGAUUAAUUCUUUCUAGCCUAAUUGGUCAUAUCUGUUUGAACAUAGUGGUAGGUUCAGAUACUUUUGUUUUUGAGGACUUUUUUGGGUGAUGAUACUUGCAAUGAAACAAUGUCUUGCUAUAUGCUACAUCACAAUCAGUUAGAAUUCGACAGGUUAAUCAAUAUAGUGAAGGCAACUUGAAAAUUGGCUAUUCAUGAUCAUCAUAAAAUCGUCAUUACAUUAGCAAUGAAGGACGCAUCUGACUACCUUAAUAUGUGUGGAUGCGCUUAUGGCACAUAAUGAAGGACACAUUAUCGUUUGCCAUUCUCAAGUUGUUCCUUCUUAAAAUAUUAUUUUAUCACCUAUGCUUAUGUGUUUCUCAUUAUAUUCUGUGACAGCUCAGAACAAACAUGGACUAUGUCUUUCACUUGCAAGGGGGCACUGGGGGGACAAGAUUUUGCUCAGUAUACAAUAGACAAGGAUUCGAUCACGUUUGGUAACUUAAUAACAAUGAAAUCAAAUCUAGGGUAUGGUGCCAGGGACUACUUGUACUAUAAGAGGAGAUGUGGUAACGCUGUAGCAACACUAAAUGAGAUCGAAUAUGAUGAAGAUGCAAAUGCAAUGUUAUCAAGUAAUGGGGAGGAGAGGGAGGUCAGAUUAGUAUUGUCCAGGGAUCAAAUAAUAGAGCGAAAUGUGGAGAUAACACCAAUUAAAUUGCCAAGAAUGGUAUCAAUUAGUGAAGAUUCCACAGAUGAGUCAAUUGAUGAUUACAAGGUCUGACUUAACAAUAUGCAUAAAGACAGAAAAUACAUGGGUAAGUUAUGUUGCUGGCCUAUUCUAAAUGGUUAUAUUAUAAUAUAUUGCAAUGGCCACAUCACUAAUAUCGACAUGGUUUUUUGCAGAAUUUCAAGAUGUAUACAGGGAAGACACAGUCAAGACUUACAAAGAAUGGUUAAGAGUGCAAGGACAACUUGAUGAUAUUAGUAAUAUAACAAAUUUUCCUAAACUGUCAACCAAACUAUAAUCAGUCCUUUGCAAUCCAUUUAUAUCUUAGACAUGUGACCUAUUGUUUGCAGGUGCAUAUGACAACCAUAGGAAUCAGAUUGAUUUACUAAAUUCAAGUCAAGAUAGCAAUCCAACACCACCUUUGAACCUACCCUCUCAUGCUCAACGUGAGAAAACACAGGGAAAUAGUAAGUAAUGCUUAUUGUGAUUUUAUUUUGAGAUUAGUUCAGUUGUCCCUAGUAAAUGAUUUUGUUUAACCUCUUGCAUUGUAUAUUGUUUCCAUUGACAAGACUCCCAAAAGAGGAAGGCACGAGGUACCCUAAAAGGAUUGGCAGCCUCCCACAAGAGAUCCAAGCAGGGCAGUCAGAAGCUUAAAGUCGAAUUCUCUAGAAUUGGAGGAGUUGCAGGUGAGAACACACGCACAUUUAUUGAUGAAAUAGUAUUGUUUACAAGGAAAAAAGCACCACUCAUUGGAGUGAGAACAUGGAGAGAUAUCCACGAAGAUGUUAAAAAGUCAAUAGCAUCUAAUAUUAUGGUAAGUUCUGAUUUGUUUUCGGUUGCAUACACAUUUACCAAAUUAUUUAAGAAGUGGCCUAGUAUUUAUAUUUUUUGUUCAAGAGAAUAAGUGGGACCUUGAGAAUAAUGAGGAAAACAGGAAAAAAAUAUGGACCAUCGCAAAUGAGCGUUACAAAGGAUGGCGAUCAACAUUAAGUGCUACGUACAGGGCAUACACCACCGAUGAUGAGAGAAUGAGACACAAGCCAGAAGAGUUGGACAUUGUUGAAUGGCACUAUCUGGUGAUGUAUUUUGGUAGCGAAGAAUUUCAGGUUUGAUGACAUUUAUUUUAUUCUUGCCAAUUGUACCUGCUAAAAUAAAGGAUAUGUUUUGACCAAUUCACUAUAUUUUUAAAAAUAACUCCGUGUGUAGAGGAUUAGCAACAAGAAUUCUCGUAAUCGGCACAAUAGAAAGAUAAACCAUGUGACCGGAUCAAAGUCUUUUUCUCAGUUAAGCUAUGAGAAGGUAAUAACUUCAAAAGCACAUGUACAUGCUUCCUUACAUGAUGAAAUGUCACUAAUUUGUUACAUUCUUUCCACACUAGAGGGAUCCACUAACUGGUGAUGAGCCAAAUGAUUUGGACCUUUUUAUGAUGACACACACUAAGAAUGGGGACGGGACAAGCCAAGAAUCUAGGGAUGUCUAUGUGAGUAUAUAACAGUUUGUACAAUCCUUAUUAAGUGAUACAAAGUGAAUUCCUACAAUUUCUUUUUCAAUUAACUACUUUUAUUAUCAUCUCUUUGUUAGGAUAAUGCAAGCAACAAACUUUCAGAGAGGGAAACAAAUGGAGAUAUAAUUAUCAUCUCAGACGUGGAGCAAAACCAUAUUUUCCAGGUAGCCUACAAGGAAACAACAAACUGCAAAUCAACUAAGAUCCAUGCUAAUGGAUACAUGGCAAAGUACCCAACUAGAAGGCAACUACUGUCUGAGGAAUACCAGUUCCGUGUCCGUCAAGAUGCGACACUGAUGGAGGCGUUUGCAAAGCUACAAGAAUGAAUUGAAACUCAAGAGGCUGAAAGGCAAGCCGAAAGGGAAGAACAUAGGCGUCAGAUGGAAGAAAUGGAGAAGGCAAGGGAGGCUGAUAGAGAAGCACUUAAGCAAGAGCUUAUGUCGAUGAUGCAAGCAAUACAAGGACAAACAUCAUUACCACAGGUAAUAUUAGUGUAAAAUCUUAACGUGCCAUACCAAGUCAUGUGAUGCUCCUUGCUUACUUUAAGAGUGAUUAAUCUUUGAAUAUAGCCUAUGUGUGUGCUCCCGGUUAACUAAAUUAGUGAAGAACUCUAGAUGUUUAUGCUGAAUGGCUGCAUCUACAGUUUUUGUUAUGCAAUUAUUUUAGUGCUGUAAAUGAUGUUUUCAGUGAUCGUGGUAAAUACAAAACUUGUAGACAACUUCAUUAUCUUGAUUGUGCUAAAAUUUCAUGACCAUAGGACUGAUGGUUUAGGAGUUGCAGAUUUUACAAAUUUGCUAUCAGGUUUUGCAUGCCCUCUGGACGGACCUGAAUAAUUAUCUUGUUUGCCUUAUUUAAACAUGGAAUCAUGCUUCAGUGAUAGUAUAAUAAUUAUAAGGUUUUUCAUAAGCUUUCUAAAUUGUUUUGGAUCACUACUUUUGGUGGUCUAGAACUAUAGUUAUAGCUGUUCCAAUUUGGGUGGCAGAUUCUCUCCAAAUCUGGACAGGGAUGCCUUGUUUGUGUUGUUUAAUCCCUUUAGCUAUGGAAUCCUAUUUAGAUGAUAAUGAUAAAGUUGUAGCUAACUUAAAAAUCUUUCUAAGAUAGCUGGCUACAAACCUUGCUUAUAGUAGUUAAGUUCUUACUAAAGGUGUUGUUUUGGUGUAGACAAUAUGCAUAUCUGAAAUUUAAAUGUGUAAACAUCAUUUUUGUACUUCCAAACUCAAACAUGAUUUUUCUGAUCAAACUUUAAAUGUAGGGUGACAAAGAGGGAGAAAUUGCCGAGGUUGGUGCAGAAACAAACAUAUUUGAAGGAAAUGUAACAACAAGAGAAAAUGAAGAAAUAUCACAUCAACGGGUAGUUCAAGGAUUGAUGAGAGUUUAAUGUUGUAUGUUAUAGUCCACAGUAUGGGGCUAAUUUUCCCUCCAUCUAUUGAUUCGCAGGAUAACCCACAUAGCAGCCCGCUGCAAACACAACUCGCAGGUGCUACAGGGAUAACUACUGGUCGUACUAGCAGCACGCUGGAAACACAACUUGCAUCUACAACACCUGCAACUACUGCUAAUACUCGCACAACUAGGAGUGCUGUGAAUAAGUCAAAAACAGCCCAAAACAAAGGAGGGAAUCUAGCAGUUUCUUAUACUACUACAAAAGCAUUGAAGGAUGAUGCAGCUAAGAAACGAGCAUUUGGAAAAAGGAAAGAACAAGCAGGCAAUGUGUAGGUGAUUUUUUUGUCACUCCACUACCUAGGAAUAUUCUUGGAUCAGAUUUGUGUCACUGAGUAUUUUUUUUGUAUAUACCUAAUUGACUUUUAGGUUUGACAUAUAGCCUUUACAAGGGACACUUUACUUUUGAAUAAUCCUGCAAACCUGCUAGUCUUUAGUUUAAGAUUAUGAAUUGCUUGCUUUGUCAACUCCAAACUGUUGUUGCAAAAUAAUACAAUUUUAGUUUACCUGAUACAUAUACUAAUUGUUAAUGAUUCAUUUUAGGAGCAAGAUGGAGUUUGAAUGGAGCGCACGAUUGAUGGGAUGAUCAACAUCAAGGCAACCAUACCAUUGCUGCAGUGCUCCAUAGCUCAUUACAUUUUGAUGUGAUCAAACUAGAUAGUGAUUUGUGUUGGAUACAUUAUGUGUUUUAUGUGUGCAUGUGUUAUCUACUAAGUUUGACAUUGGAUGGUUUGGUUUCAUUAAUUAUUUGUAUGAACAGACCAGGUUUAAUGGAUAUCUAAAUAUUUCAUACAUCUUAUAUUGUUCGGCGUGCAAUUACUGUUUGUAGCUACUAAACAAAGCAUUACAAUAUGGGCUAUUGGCAUAAUAAUUUGAUGAUGCAAUAUAUGCUAUAGCAACAAAACAAAUGGUGUGGCAAAAACCUCAUACCAAUAAAAUAGUGGGUGUGGUAAUAGAGUUACACCGAUAGCAACCAAAACAAUUGUCGCAAUAGAUGGUUCUACCUAUAGCAACCACAAUACUUUGUGUGGCAAUAUAGAGACCACCUCUAGCAACCAAAACAUUUGUCGUGGCAAUAGAGGGUUUCAACUAUAGCAACCACAUAGACAAGUGUGGCAAUAAAGAAGCCACCUUUAGCAACCAAAACAUUUCUCGUGGCAAUAGAUGGUUCUCCCUAUAGCAACCACAUAUAUAAGUGUUGCAAUAGGGAGACCACCUGUAGCAACCAAAUAUCUAUUGUGGCAAUAGAGAGUCUACCUAUAGCAACCACAGAGAUAGUGAAGCAAUAGGAGGUCCAUCUAUCGCAAUGCUAUUGAUGUGUAGCAAUAGGGUCUGUGGCAACACUCAUCAUCGUUGCUAGUGUACCUAUUGCUACUCUUUCCAUAUGUGGCAACAAAUAUCUUUGGCAACACCUAGUGUGUUGCAAUAGUUACUAUUGCAACACCCAUGGUGGUUGUCUGUAUUAUGGCUCACAACACUUCAUGGUGUUGCAAGAACACUCUCUUGUGUUGCAAUAGAGAAAAGUCUAUGGCAACACCAAAAUAAUGUGUUGCACAAUCCUAUUGCUACCGUAACAGUGGCAACACCUCCCAACCAUUUUUUGUGUUGCAAUUUUGUCUAUUGCAACACUUUUUGGCCUAUUGCAACACUUUUAGGCCAUUGCAUCAUGGGGGAAACCUUGUAGUGGAAGGGGUCGGGGCCACCGGCGUCUGGCUGGUCGAGACCGCAGGCGUCGACCGCCCAUCUCCUACAAUGGACGCCCCCAACAACUCCCUGGCUGACCUGUUUGAUCUGGGUUGGUUGAGGGGAGUUGAUGUCCCACAAAGGUUUAUGUCGCCGAUCACUGUCGACGACUUGUCGAGCAGGCCGACACGAAGGUCAUCGGCCUCCUGCGGACCAACCUCCUUGGGAUACCCCCUCUCCAGCCGGGACAAGUUGACCAGGGGGUAGUGGGCACGCAUCAUGCUGAGGACGUGCGCCCCGGCAAACUCCCCGGCGUCCUUGACGAACUGCUGCAGCCAACUCCACGCCUGCUGCGCCUUCUCAACAGGGGUUAGCCUCGGUGCGCGGGGUUGGUCUUCGGGGAGCUCGGGGCUGAUCAAGUCGAGCACCGGGGCCACUCCUUUCUAGAUCUUGAUACAAUUGGCCUUCCAUGAGUCCCGAUCCUUGACCAGCUCGUCGAGGUGCUUCUUGGUGUUAACUUUAAGCACUAUGAUAAAAAUCCCAAAGAAAACCAAGCAAGAUGUCAGUAUAAACACGACAAGAGGAACAUUGCGUAGUCAAAAAGGGCGCAAGGCUCGUACCAGCCAAUUCUUGACUCUUGUUCCUCAGCUCCUCGCCAGCCUGGCGCCCGGCCUCCAGUGCACCGGUACGCUCCUGGUCGAGUCGCUCCCUUUCUUCUCGGAGGCGCUCAAUCUCCUCCUCCAGAGCUGCAGAAAUAAUAUUUGGUUAACAAAACCGACCACGCAGUUAACUACAGCUGCUCGGAGCCCAUGACUCACCUUUCUUCUCCUGAUCCUUAUCGGCUAGUCGCCGAUUCAGAUCGAGCAGGCGCUCUUCUUGAGCCGAUGUCUCGACUGCCUUCUCCUCGGCCUUUGACCGAAGGCGGUCUACCUCUGCGGUCAGGGCCUUGUUCUCGGCAACGAUACCCUCAAUUUGGUCGAAGCACCUUUUUCGGUACUUCGCCGUCUUCAUUGCGCCCUGCAAGAAUUAUACGUAUUGUGAAGCAAACAAACAACAAUACAUACACAUUUUUACAGAACACAAGAACACUUACCAUGACUUCUUCGACGAGCCGCUUGGCAGCGCGCUCUACUCUGGCCGCCUCCUCGGUUUCGGCGAGCUCUUCGUGACCGAUGAAGUGGUCCCCACGCUGGCGCCACACGAAAACGUGUUGGCGACCAUCUUGGGGGCACCCUUGGAUCUCCUCAACCUCGUCGUCGGAGGUCGCCUGGGCCUCCUCGCCCUCCGCGUUACCCCCAACCGUGGUAACAGGCAUCACGGGACCCUUGCCCCGACCAGGGGAGCCCUUUGGCAAAGAAGCCUCCUCCCGGGGUGGAGUUGGGGCCCUCCUUUCUUCAGCAGGCGGGGGAGUUGGGGCUCUGUCUACCUCCUCUAUGACACUACUCGGGGGAGGCGUCCUUGCAGCCUCAUCAUCCCUUGUCGGGGUUCUCGCCCCGGCCCUCGCCUGAGCCGGGUCCUCCCUGGCUGUCUCCGCUGCAGUCACAACCGCGGGUUGCUCCUCGGUUGGUUCCUAGGUGGUCUGCUCGGUGGCGAUUUCAACGACAACCGUCGGAUCGGCCGUUCUCUGGCCGGCGACGUUGCCCGGAUCAACGUCUGAUGCCGCACUAGCAGAGGACAUCAUUUUGACGUAAAAAUACAGGAAACAACAAGAAGGAAGGAAGUGUAGAAAACAAAUUGAAAGAUCUUACAGAUCAGAGCGCCUGUGUGUCGCUGCGAAGAACCUCCUCCUGGUCCUACCAGUCGCCACUGCUGCCUCUGCCCCCCCAAGCCGCGUUGGCUCGGUGUGCGGGGCAGGAGGGUCGCCGGUCACCUGACCAGCGGUGAUCGCCGCAACGUCAGGCCGACUGCGCGGUCUCCAGACCAAAGAGGGCGCAGCUUCCUCCUCUUCGUCGUCAUCGUCGGUGAUCCUCACGAGCCGGCGAUGCUUUGGUGCCUGGCUGGUCUCCGCUGGCAAUGCCUUCGUAGGGGAUGGUUCCGCGGCCAUUGGCCUCUUCCCUGCGAUCCUGUCCUCGGUGGUCGGCGUCGGUCGGUGUUGGUCUUCCUCGCUGCUGGUAUACCGAGCAGCAUCGUCCACUGCUGGGUCCAUCCCAGCAGGCUGGUCCAUUCCGGGUGCCAGUGAUACAUACACCGAGCACCGAUCAAUGUCUCCAAUCUGCAAUAGAACAAACGACAAGUCAUCAACCAUGAAACUACAGUAUUCACAUAGCAAUACAAAUUAAUGAAGGUACUCGUUUACCUUAGGAGCUGGUCGUCCCAACUUGAAGGCGUGCAUUCGAUCAUCACUUCGAACGAAAUUAUCAUUAGAUAAGUUGAAUAACUCGUUCAUCAGCUGCUGGACCUCUGCCUUCUCCAGACCAUCUGGGCACAUCCUGGUUGAGUCUUGGCUCCUCGCGUACUCAUACGCCGAGUGUACCCUCCUCUGGCAUGGCAUCACCCGACGCACAAGAAAGUUCCCGACCACUCCUGGCCCGUCUAAGCGGGACCAGUCGAUCAGGCUCAUCAGAUCUGACACUUGCCCAGUGUGUUCUGGACGGUCUGUCCAGCUGACCCUCUUCUCGGGAAUGUAGCCCACGUCGCAGAACGUGGUGCUGCCCGGCUCUUCCCUGAUGUAGAACCACUUCUUGUACCAUUCGGUGAGAGAAGUGUUCCAGGGGCAGCUGAGGUACCGGUUCUUCAUCCCGUCGCGCAGAUUGAGGUAUACUCCACCUGCAAUCUUGGAGCCUCCAACUGCUCCUUUCUUCCUCAAACAAAAAAGAUAGCGAAAGAGAUCGAAGUGCGGCUCUAUUCCAACAUAGGCCUCGCAUAGAUGGAUGAAUGUGGAGAUCAGAAGAAUAGAGUUCGGGUGCAGAUUGCAAAUCCUGAUCUCAUAGUAGAGAAGAAGACCCUGGAGAAAAGGAUGGAUAGGAAUCCCAAAACCCCUUUUAAAGAAAUCUUUGAAGACUACAAUCUCACCGGCGUGGGGGUCGGGGUAGCUCUCCCCCUCCGGUGCCCUCCAUCCUCCGAGCUCCUGACUGUGCAGGAGUCCCUUUUCGACGAGGUCGUUGAGGGACCUCGUGUUUCUACUGGAUUUCUUCCACUCCUUGGCCAUCAUCUCAGCCCUCUUCUUGGCAUCGCUCUUCGCCAUUUCAACUCUUGGAAAAUCUCGUGCUUGGUUUUGAGGCUUGAAGGUGCUGAGAAAGAUGAAGGCUGGGCAAUAGAAUGCGACUGCGGGGUAAAAAACAAGGAAACGAUCUUAGGCUUUUAUAACAACAGCCCCGCCUCUUCCACUUCCCGCAUUCUGGGGAAGUGGGCGGAUCCUGCGGCGGCCGUGGCGCUUCGGUUCUUCAUAAUUAUCGCAGUUAAUAUGGUGGCUUUUCUGCAUAAUUGACGGUUUCCUUUUCUUGGACCGCGCAAAGAGCGGCUGCACAGUUACCAGGCACACCUUUUUACGCAACAGACUGACAAUGUGCCAGGAUGUUCUGUCACAUCGCGCAUUAAUGCGAAGAUAUGCUUUUUCAAAAAGGAGUGGGGCUGCUGGAGGAACGAACAUGACAUACUUGUUGACUGCACCGACCACCGAGCAUGCUCUGCUCGGGGACUGGUCGACCAGUCUGUUCUUUCGCCAUUUUGAUUGACUGCACCGACCACCGCGUACGACAUGCUCGGGGACUGGUCGACCAGUCUGUUCAUUCGACAUUUCGAUUACCUACCGACCACCGAGCAUGACACGCUCGAGGACUGGUCGACUAGUCCGCUCAUCGGAUAUGCUGGGGACUGGUCGACCAGGUUGCUUUACCAUAUAUGAGCAUGAUAUGCUCGAGGACUGGUAAAUUCAAUCGUAUAACUUCAGCUCGUUAAUUUUAAUUUUUUAGACCUUGCUACAAGGCUCAUACUUCCCCUUCCAGCAAGCUCGGGGACUACAUCGGUACGAUGCAUCUAGCGAUGCAUGAUAGUAUCAAAAAUUUUAAGAUAAUUCUCUUUAGACCCUGGCACCACGUGACUAUGUCACCUACUACCAGGCUCGGGGACUAAGUGGGCACACUUCACCUUGCGGUGAAUAUGCUUGCUUUCGGAAAGACUAUACUUUUCAAGAAAAGUAAAGUGGGCACACUUCAUCAGGAAAGAAAUCUUUUUUGAUUAAGAGCACCAUGCAUUCUUUAAACAACCUGCUUCUUCGAUGUUGAUGUUGAUCAACUGUCUUUCGAGUUGGUCAAAAUACCGAUGCAACUGUUUGGGCGACUUUCAUGUUGAUCGAAGAUGUCAAGACUUGCUGCUCGAAGAAGUUCAAGAUGGCGUGUUACAUCACAAUACAUGGUGCUCGGGGACUAGCUGUGGAGGGAUAAACCCCUAUACCCUUACGGCUAGACUUGGGCCAGGAAACUUGGUCCAUCAUGAGGCAGACUCGGGGCUUGAUCCAACUGCUCGGAGUCUCACGAAAGGAAACAAGAUGUGGAGAUCGAAGAGGAUUCUAGUCGGUUAGAGUAGGAAUUGAUAUCGUGUUAUCUAUGGCAAUUGUAACCGACUAGGAUUAGUUUCUAGAUCUGUAACCCUGCCCUCCGGACUAUAUAAGGAGAGGCAAGGGACCCCCUAGAUCAAUUCAUCUCAACACAAUCCAAUACAAUCAGACGUAGGACGUAGGUAUUACGCCCACACGGCGGCCGAACCUGGAUAAAAACCUUGUCUGUGUCUUGCGUCACCAUCAAGUUCGUAGCUUGCGCACCGUCUACCGAUAAACUACUACCGUGGGUAUACCCCAAGGUGGACUGCCGACUAGCUUUUGUCGACAACUGCCGACCGCACAUUGAAGGGAGACAGUAGAGAGAGGGAGGCAGGGAGAGGGAGAGAGAUAGUAGAGGAGAGCGCGUCGUCGACUUACAUUGUGUAGGUGAGAGAGAGAAUUGAGAGACGAGAAGAAACACUAAGUCUGGCUUAUAUAUGGGACUAUAGCAAUGGGUCGGUCUAGGCUGUCGGCUUAUUUAGAGGCUGACUUCUUAAGAGGCUCAUUGUCGUAAAUCGAUUUUGAGAGACGGGUAUUUUUGGUGUCUCCAUAAAUAGAAUGACCGCCACCGUAACUCAAAUUUCAGAGAUGAACAAUUUUGGGGUGCAUCUGUAGAUAAGAUGACCGCCUCUCAAAAUCAUCAGGUAUUUUAUGAGUCAUCUAAAUUAUGUGACCUUCUCCGUUAAUAAAACUAGUUGUGUACUAAAAAUGUUUUUGGUGCGUGUUUCUUUUUUCCCUUUUUUUUAUGGUGGAGUGACAACACGCAUGUGUUAGGGAGACAAGGGACAUGAUCUGCAGUGUUAACCCAACCCCCGCCCCCUCCCACGGCCCAACCUGUUGUUUCUCUACACCUAACUUGCUCCAUCCCGUGAGUUUUAAGACUUUGCUUGUCUGAAAAAGUCAUGGUUGAAAGUACUGUUCGCUGAUUUAUUGUGAGAGAAAAAUAUUGCUGAAUAAUUGACAGAUUUAACACAUAAGUUCAAGCGAACAGAAUGAAUUCAAAAUCAAAACCCACCCCAUAAACACUUCUUCAACCCGCCCAAUUAGCAAGCUUACUCUAGUCAAACACUUAAAUAUAAUCUCAUUUCUUAGUUUGGGUAGCUCUCCAAAUGCUUCACUAACCUCUCUUCAAGUGCUAGGUAUAACGGUGUCGAACAGCUCUAAAUAAGCUAAGGUAACACUAUGUAGAGGGUGAAGAAACUGCUAAUCGUUGAAAAAAAGUUUGCGAACACAGAGAACACCAGAUGAUUCUCCGGCUUAAAAAAAAAGCCUGCCAGAUCAAUCCCUCACUCUACACUUAGUAGUUGGCACUCCCUUGGCCGUGCGGUGCCCAUUGUAGUAUCACCCCUGUUUCGGUCUCUCUCUCUCUCUCCUCUCACUUUAUCUAUAUCUCAAUCCCACCCAAUAAUUCAAAAAAGCUCCAAUCUUUUCUCCCUCAAAUUGAAACUCUUUGCAAUAUGCCACCAGCUACGCCGUGCAGCUGGCCCACGGUCAAUGGGGACAGGCACACCAGCGCAAGGCAAGAAGGGCAACCCACACUGCCCACAGGUGACCAAGCGUGCAGCAAUCCCAAUCCGGCCGGCAAGCAGCGACGAUACAGGCUACAUCGUUGAGGACCAAAGGCUCCAAAGCUAGGUCCGAAAAUACCCAAGUCCAAAAUUAUGGAUGCGCCGUUGCUUUCUUUGCUUGCAUCUGUCGGCCGUGUGGCGAUUCCCUGUCCUCCCGUUCAUGUCCACCGACGGAGUCUCGUUGUGCUCAACAUCAUGGUGAGAUAGGCUCGACAUGUCAGUCAUGAUACUGGACCACGAACUACUGGACUAGCGUAUAACCCAUUAACCCACCAUUAGCUAGUCGAUCUUCUUCCUCGUCCGUUUGAUGUCUCCCUCGUUGCGCUCUAGGACUUUCAUGGCGGCCCGGUUACAGUUACAGUCUUACAGAUUGAGCGCAAGGAGAUGUAAAGGAUUCUUGCAGGCACAAUUACGAAAAACUCGUACGAAGACAUGAAUAUCACAUUACAAAGGGCAAAUUAAUUGUACGUAGUUGGAAGCUAGCACACAAUGACUACGUGUACAAAACAAGGCAUGACAAAAUGUUUAAUUCGUAUAACACACACUGCAGGAAGCAAGCACAUCUGCACACGAAUGGCACCGACGACCGAACUUAGUGUCAGAUUAUUAUUCAGGUCUGCGAGGUCCAGCACUAAUCGCAGCACAGCAGCAACAGGCCAAUGCAUGGCGAACAGAUGAUAAUCAUGCAUGUAUAGCCUGCCAUGGAUCACAUGACAGAGCACGAGUUCUCAUCGGCGACGACAUUGCAGCCGGCCCACGGAGGCGGCCAGACAGGCGGCUGCGGUGGCCAGAACGGCGGUGUCUGGCCACAGCCGCCACAGUGGCUGCCGUGGCUCCAACAGGUGCACGGUGGUGGUGGUGGUGGCGGUGGCGGAGGCUGCGGCUUCUCGCAGCACUGGCACUGCAGCUGAGGCGGGCACUGCCAUGGCCAGCUCUGGCACAUCCCGGCGUUCGGCGGCAGCGGGUACGGGUACGGCACAAACUUGUACUGUGUUUUCGGCGCCGGCGGCGGCUUAGGCUUAUCCUCAGGCGGCUUAGGCUUUGGUUCCUCAGGCUUAGGCUUGGGCUUGCAGUGCUCGCAGUCACAGCAUUUGUCAGGCUUGGGCUUGCAGUGCUCACAGCAGCAACAUUUCUCAGGCUUGGGAUCCUCAGGCUUGGGUGGCUUGGGUGGAAUCGGCCAGACGUCCACGAUGAUGAUCUCCUUCACGACCUUAUUCCCGGCCUUGCACCAGACCUUCUUGCAGAGCUUCUCGGGGUCGAAUUUCCCGCGCACCACCACCACCUUCUUCUCCUUCUUGUCCUCGAACUCCACCUUCUCGAUGCAGAACUCCUCUGCAUAUCAAUUGGAAAACAAAAGAUAAUUGACUGGCCGAUUUGUUGUUGCAAGCACAGAUCAGAAUUCAGACUCGUAAGCUAGUAGUUGUACUUGUAGUCUUGUUAAUAUACAUGCUAAAAUGUACCUUUGAGGCUGUCCAGGACCUUGGUGAUCUUGGCUCUGCAGCGACAGCAGUCUAGGUCCACCGUAAUCACCAGUAUACCCAUCUGCAAACAAACAUAUGCAUGUGAAACAAAUAGUAUUGGCGAAUUGCCGAACAGAAAGUAGCAGAGCAUGAAAUUCAAAAGAAGUAGCAGAGCAUCGGCACAUCUCCUGCAAUCCAUUCAAGUGAAAAAGAACCCCAAAAAAAAAAACAUGUGCCAUGAAUCUCUUGCUCUUAGUCAUCCUUACUUUACUCUGAGUAGUUUGGUAAGGAGCUAGCUGAAACGAAAUUAUGCUUCUUUUCCUGGGUAACAAACACGAGUGCUACAACAUACGUCCAAUCCAGUAAUAUGCGGCGAAUGCAGCAGUGAAAGGACAGUUGAAAGAUUUGAGCUUACCUUUUGAGCUAUGGGAGUUGCCCGAUGAGCAAGAGAGGAGUACUUCUUAAGGUGGAUGGGUUUGGGGGACGGUUAUAUAUAUAUAUAUAUAUAUAUUUUAUACAAUAUACUGAAGCAGAGGCAGAGCUAAGCCUUGUGUGACGCAUGUUGGAUUGGAUCACAUCUUGAUAAUGCUGAUGAGACGGGGAAAGGGCUCCUGGACCUGCUGUUUGGCUGGGACUGGUCCUUCACGAAAUGUGUCUAGCUACUCUCCCUCUCUCCCGUCAUUUUCUAGCGAAACUUCGAAUAUGGAACGGUCUCUUUCAAGACUUUGGAGUGGGGGUACAAAUGUACAAUACAAUCCCGCUGCAACUCUCGUGCAAGGCUCAAGUGCUGCGGUGCUGCUCCCUCCUCGAAUUCCACCGACGCGCGCAGUGACAGGGGUCACCGUGGCCAAGGUCCGCAAGCAGUCGAGGAGGUCGGCGAGCUCUGCCUCUGACGACGGCGCGCGCGGCCACGAGACAGUCCAGGCUAAACACUUGAACCAACUCCUCGGACGUAUUUUGGCAGAGCUUUGAUCGACUACGUACCCAACUGACACUCUGCUACCUGGUGCAAAAUUGGGCGGAAACAAAGGUCACCGGUCUGAACCGCCGUUUUGUUUAUUUCAAGGAGGAAUUUGAAUGACCCCAAGCUCCUGGUGUUUAUUCCACUGGCCUAGCUCCUGGCCUUGAUGAGACCAUGAGGCUGUCAUGGAAAUCAUCUACAGAGUAUUGGUAUUCUGGAGAGUGGAAUGGGAGAUACUUCGUUCAUUGCAAUACCCGAUCGAGAUGUCGGAUCCCGCUUACUGCAAUUAUAUGUUUGUUAACAAUGACCAAGAGUUCUACUUCUCCUACACCUUGGUGAACGAGAGCACAAUAUUUCAGGUUGUGUUAGAUGUCUCUGGUGUUGGAACAAGGUGUCUCCAACGCGCCAGGAACGAACGCCGGCGAGUGCGUGGUCACCGCGGCGAGAACGAACACGAAGACAACUUAACGAGAUGACGAUCAGACUUAGUUGCUGCCACAACCGCAGCGCAUUUGGUCGUUUAUUCCUUGCUUUUAUAGCAGACACAGGCUUGCACAAUCCAAGCCCCCCACACCAUGUCGUACAAAGUGCCAUGCAUCGUUACAACUCCGAUGCGUGCCACGUGCGCUCGGUACGCCAUGGCGAGAGUCCUAUACCGACCCGGGCUGACCGUGAUCUUGCACGCCUAAGAUCAUGUCUGCCCCUAACCUGACUGACUCAACUGAAACAAAGAUUUCAAGAUAUCGUGCACAAGUUUAGCUAACUAACAAAUCACUCCCUAAACUUGAUGCACAUCUACGACCCCUAGAGCACUCCUGAGUUCUACAAACUUGACCCGCCCCAGCGCCUUCGUCAAGAUGUCGGCCAGCUGCUCCGCAGUCCGGACGUGAUCAACUUCCACCUUUCCAUCCUCAAUGCAUUCACGCAAGAAGUGAUACCUCUUAUCAAUGUGCUUGCUGCGAUCGUGAUGCACCGGAUUCCUGCUAAGCGCGAUUGCAGACAUAUUAUCCAUGAGUAGCUUCACCAUCGUCUCCUUUGUUCCCAGUAUAUCUGAGAUCAAUCGGCAUAACUAUAUCCCUUGGCACGCUGCUGCUGCUCCUGUCACGUACUCGACUUCACAGGAGGAUAGCGCCACGAUCUUCUGCUUCUGUGAAGUCUAGGUGACCAAGCUCUCACCUAGAAAGUAGCCAACACCCGAAGUGCUCUUCCUGUCCACCACAUCACCUGCGAAGUCACUGUCGCUAUAGCCCACUAGAACAGGCUUCAGCUCAGUUCCUCUCUCGUACUUGCAGCCAUACCCCAAAGUCCCCUUCAAGUACCUUAGGAUAUGCUUGACUACCGCCCAAUGUUGCUUACCGGGAGCCUCCAUGUAUCGACUAACCACACCCACUGCAUAUGCCAAAUCUGGCCGGGUGUUUACCAAAUACCUCAAACUCCCAAUCAGGCUUCUAUACGCCGUUGCAUCCACGGCUUCUCCCUCCUUUUGCUUGUUGAGCUUCACCCAACACUCCAUAGGUGUCUCACAUGGAUUACAACCACUCAUACCUGCUACUCCAAGGAUCCUAGCGGCAUAUGAGCUCUGACAGAGAGUGACUCCACCCUCUCCUUGUGUUACCUCAAUACCUAGAUAGUAAGUUAACAGGCUCAAGUCACUCAUACUAAAAUUCUUCUUCAUCUCUAACUUGAAACUUCUGAUAUCACUCACCCUAUGCCCCGAGAUGAUCAAAUCAUCCACGUACACUCCCACAAGUAGAAAAGAGCUCUUGCUAUUUUGUCUAUAAACAACAUGAUCCAACUUGCUUCUGACAAAACCCAGAGCAACCAGUUCACUGUCAAGUUUUGAAUUCCACACCCUCGGUGCUUGCUUUAACCCAUAGAGUGCUUUUCUGAGCUUGAGAACUUUUGUACCAUCACCCACUAUGAAACCUGGAGGCUGUUGCACGUACACAGUCUCAAUGAGAUCACCAUUCACGAAAGUCGAUUUCACAUCCAUAUGGUGAACUUCCCAACCACCUUGAGCUGCUAAUGGCAACAACACUCUUACAGUCUCUAACCUGGCUACCGGCACAAAAACUUCAUCAAAAUCCACUCCAUGUCGUUGUGCAUAACCUUUCGCUACCAGAUGUGCUUUAUGCUUGACAACUUUACCGCUUGGAUCUUUCUUAACCUUGAAAACCCAUUUCAGGCCAAUUGCUUUGUGCUUCGGUGGCAACACACUGACAUCCCAAGUGCGAUUUGCCUUUAUAGCCUGCAUCUCUGACCGCAUUGCUUGCCGCCAACAUUCUUCCGACAUAGCCUCCCCGACUAUCCUCGGUUCUUCUACCGUACCUAGACAAAUCCCGCUGUACUCGAACUCCUGUAUUUCUUCUGUGCUGUCAAGUAGAUUAGGAAUCGUUUGGUUCCUUAGUGGCGCGCCAUCAGAGUGAACUGAUCCGUCUGUAGGUGGGGUCGCCCAUUGAAUCAUCGGUCCUCCAUGACUUGAGAUCGGGGUGUGUGGUGACCCUCGAGCAUCACCCCCACCACUGGAAUUGUAACAGCAGGCAAAACAGGCUCAUCAUCAACGUCAAGUCCUAUUGCCGGACCAUGAAUAGUAGCAUCUUCAGCAUACCCCUAAACUGUAAACGUAUUAGGCACUGCUGCUACCUUUGUUCCCUCAUUUGUGCUGCCUGCUUUUCCUCCCCAAUUCCAUGGUCUCUCUUCAUCGAAGAUAACAUCAUGUGAAACCAUCAGUUGCUUGUUCACAGGAUCAUAAAUACGAUACCCUUUUGUCCUAGGCUCAUACCCAAGAAAGACACCUAGAAUCGCCCUGUUAGUCAACUUGCUCACCCCGGGUCCAACAUGCUUCGCAUAUGUUGUACAGUCGAAAGUUUGAAGGUGCUUAACCCCUAGUCUCUUACCAAACUAGGCCUCAAAAGGAGUCUUCCCACUCAGACUCUUGGUUGGGGAUCUGUUUAGUAUAUAAACCACAGUUUUGACUGCUUCACCCCAGAACAGCGACGACACAUCCAUGCUCUUGAGUAGACACCUCACCAUUUCCACCACCGUUUGAUUCCUCCUUUCUACGAUGCCAUUUUGUUGUGGAGAAUAUGGAGUAGUGGUGUUGUGUCUUAUCCCAUGCUCACUGCAGAAAACCAUAAAGGCUCCUGAGUUGAACUCCCCACCUCGGUCUGUCCUGACUGCCCUCAGACGAUGGCCAGAUUCCAACUCCGCCACUGCUUUGAACUUCUUCAGGUAGCCUAGAGCUUCGUCCUUUGUUGCCAAAAGUUCAAGCCACAUAUAAUGGCUGUAGUCAUCGACAAUAAGGAGGAAAUAUGACUUCCCUCCUGGUGUGGUCGGUGUAAUCUGCCCACACAAAUCAGUGUGAACCAGCUCAAGUCCUGCUGAUGCACGGUAGGCCGAGACCUAUGGAAACGGUGUCUGAUGUUGUUUACCCAACACGAUCCAUUACACACCUGCUCUGACUUUUUAAUGAUCGGUAUACCUUCCACCAUCCCCUUUACCCCAAGCUCUCGCAGUGACCUGAAGUUGAGAUGUCUGAAACACGCGUGCCAGCGCCAAGCUACCCCGUCCAUCUUUGUUAAUAGACACACAGGUGAAGUCAACUUCACCUUCAUGACAUACAGACGAUUCUUGCGCUCUGCCCAUAUCAGCAUAGUCCUCCGCACUCCCGCCUGCUCUCGAUCGAACACCUCUAUUACACCUUUAUCGAUUUCAACACGACAACCUCCUUCUUCCAGUUGCCCUAUACUCACAAUGUUGCAUCUGAGAGAUGGAAUACAAUAAACCUCUGUCAGUACCCGGUGUUCAACAUUCCUCCCUAAGAUUGUUACAGCACCAAUCCUGCAGAUUUCCACCGUAGAGCCAUCCCCGAAUCUCACUUCUCCUCGCACGGACUCGUCUAGACUUGCCAGUGAGUCACAGCCUAUAAUAUGAUUCGUGGCGCCCGUGUCGAGUACCCAAGCACCUUGCUCGUACUUGAAGGGAAACACAUGUUCCUGGUUUAGGAACAGCCGAGGUGCUUCUACAUUCGUUGUGCGAACAAUAUUGCAGACCUAAGCCACAAGAAGCGCCGACACAGCAUCAGUUUUAGUAUUAGCUACCUCCCCCUGAUAUUCCUUCGCCUUCUUCUUGUUUGGGCACUCCUUGCCCCAAUGCCCAUAUACACCACACUUCCUGCACUUCCCUUUACGACGUGGUAGUCUUGUUGAGCCAUGACCAUCGCCAUGAUCACGUCUAUCACGCUCAGUCUUGCCAGCACCACCACGCACACUAGAUCGCUCUUUCUUGACAUACUAUCCUCCCUUCCUAUUUCUCGAGCCAAAUGACUCGGCUGACACCAUGCGGCUCUUGUUUCUCGACGCUCACUCUUCUUCCGUGGGCAACAAACGACCAGCCUUAUCGGUGACCCUUUCACCAGUAGAUUCAAACCGAUCUUCAGCCACCCGAAGACAACCUACUAGAUUUUCAAGUGAUAAUUCCUUUAGGUCAUGAAACAUCUCCAUUUACACCGCCACUUGAUCAUAUUUGGAUGGCACCACCCUGAGGAACUUCUUGACAACUCGUGCAUCAUCGACUGAUUUCUCACCGAGACUGCGCAAGUGUGUUGCCAACUUGGAUAUCCUCACCACAAACUCAUCGAUAGUUUCACCAGGUUUGAACGAAAUUGACUCAAACUCAGAAAGCAGCUUUUGUGCGUUUACCUCUUUCACCCUCUCCACACCCAAACGCAUCGAUUUGAUAGCCUCACAUGCCUCCUUCGCUGACUUCUUGUUUAGUAGCAUAGAGUGCAUAUCGGGGGGUACGCCAUGCAAGAUGGCUCCCAAGGCGAGCCGAUCAUGUCUUCGCUCCACCUUGUCAGAUUCGAUCGCAUCCCAUAGGUACAUGGCUUUGAGAUUGCACUGAACAUGAGAAGACCACUCUUGAUAGUUCGACUGGGACAGGGUCGGCUAGAUCAGAUUGCCUGCGACCUGGUUUCAUGCCCGCUCCAUCUUCUCCAUGUCACUGUUGCUUCACAUGACGACGAUUGUAGAUGUUCACGCCUCCUCCUUCUCGAUCCCGGUGAUCUAGAUCACCUGGCCUUCUAUUCAAGUUCUCUCCGCCACCAAACACCACCUUCCCCAGCUUUCCAUGGCUCUGAUACCCUGUGUUGGAAUAAGGUGUCUCCAACGCGCUAGGAAUGAACGCCGACAAGUGUGUGGUCACCACGGUGAGAACGAACACGAAGACAACUUAAUGAGAUGACGAUCAGAUUUAGUUGCUGCCACAGCCACAGUGCAUUUGGUCGUUUAUUCCUUGCUUUUAUAGCAGACACAGGCUUGCAGAAUCCAAGCCCCCCACGCCAUGUCGUACAAAGUGCCCGCAUCGUUACAACUCGAUGUGUGUCGCGUGCACUCGGCAUACCAUGGCGAGAGUCCUAUACCGACCCGGGCUAACCGUGAUCUUGAAUGCCUAAGAUCACGUCUGCCCCUAACCUGACUGAUUCAACUGAAAUAAAGAUUACAAGAUAUCAUGCACAAGUUUAGCUAACUAACAUCAAGUCAAUGGAAGGUGCAAAGUGGGAAAGACCAUAAACAUGGGAUGAUCAUCAGUGUUAGUGUAGUUGUGGGUGUAAGCACUGUCAUCACCUUAGCGUUCAUCUUCCUAAUUGUGAUCUGGAGAAGCAAUAAGGUAUGUUGAUAUAAAACGUGCAAGUAACAAUUUCUCAGAGAAGUUAGGUCCAGGUGGUUUGGGUUCUGUAUUUAAGUGGUGCCUAAGUGAGUCGGUUGCCCACCAGGAAGAGAAGCAGUUCAGGUCUGAGGUGAGCUCGAUAGCCAUCAUUUAGCAUGCUACUUUGGUUAAACUUGUCGGGUUUUGUUGUGAAGGUGAUAGGAGGCUACAUGUGUAUGUGCACACGACAAACCGUUCCCUUAACGUCCAUCUGUUCCAGAGCCAUGGUACCAUUUUGGGUUGGAACAUUAGAUAUCUGAUAGCUCUUGGUGUUGCUAGAGAGAUAGCAUACUUGCAUCACAGCUGUUAAGACUGCAUAAUACAUUGUGAAAUCAAACCACAAAACAUACUUCUUGAUGCAUAUUUUAUUCCAAAAAUAGCAGAUUUUGGAAUGACUAAGUUUUAGUUGUGUUCUAACUACAACGAUGAGGAACUAUUGGGUGCAUUGCUCCUAUGUAUUAGUGGAACAACUAUUACAUCGGAAGUUGAUGUCUAGAGCUACGGGAUGGUUUUGAUGGAGAUCACAUCAUGAAGGAGGAACUUGGGUAAGGAAGCAUUUGCUGAUGAUGACCAUGCUAACUGUUUUCAUGUGCAAGUCAUGGACAAGCUUCUCAAUGGAGGCAUUCGAAGCCUUGUGGAUGCAAACUUGGGUGGCGAGUAAACCAUAGAUGAUGUUGAAAGAGACCGCAAGGUUGCAUGUUGGUUCAUUCAAGAUAAUGAAAUUGAUAACCCUACAAUGGAUGAGAGGUGAAGCUCAUGGGUAAUGGUGAUUCGGUGGGAGGGGAUGAUGAAGAUGGGCUUCGAGGAAAGUGUCACCAUGUCUUGGGGAAUAUCCAUCUAGAACGGUUUGGUCAGAGACGCUUUGUGGAGGGAGAUCGGCUUCGGGCUUGCUCUAUGGCUUAAGGUUGAAGAAGGUUCUUGGGGAGGUCCUCCUUGAUUCCGGUGAGGUUGAAGGUGUGGGUAAGGUGCAGUAGCUCGUCGGUGAACCAGACAAUCCUACCAACGGACAAGGAUUGCCUCCACGGGCGUGGGGAAAAUGCAAUAGCCUGUGGAGUCAAUCUUUAUCUAUUGGUGGGGUGGAUGCCAGCGGACAAUCGGAAAGCUUCUCCCAGCCUCUGCACACUUGAUUCUAGAGGGCGAACCAAACCCUGACAUUGACCCAGUCUCAUGCAUGGUUGUGGCCAGACCACUAGAGAGGUAGUAGCACUCGUCCAUGUCAGAUCCUCUAGCUCAAAGAUUGUAUUGUAGGACUCUUGACCCAUGUAGUGAUGAGGGCGACCAUGUUGUUGCUGGAGUUAGUGAACAGAAGGAAGGCGCGGAGGAGAUCAAGAUCCCAUGUGGUAACAAAGAUUUCUGAGAGGAAAGCCAAAUAGGGGUCCAAGACUGAUGGUGGCACAAUGGGAUGGCCCCACACUGUGAGUUUAGCGGAGAGGGAUAUGUAUUGGCUAUGGCCUCCGCCAUCUUCGUCGAUAGGAGAUGCCAUGGAUGGGCUCCUACAGGUGUUAGAUCCUGACCACACCUUAAUUAACGGUGAUGAUGGGAGGAGAGAUGGGCUGAGGAGCUAGUAGAAUCUUCCUCGACCUUGGUUGCAAGGCCAUUGAGUCAGAUCUCAGUGAGGGCGUCACCCGACGGACAUGUUUCAUUUUUUGUUUUUGUGGCGGACAGUCGUGUUACACAUGUGUUAGGUAAAUGCGGGACAACACGUGCCACCCAACCUAUUUAUCCUUGUUCUACACCCAACUCACCCCCACUCCAUGAGCUUGAAGAACCCAUUUGUACCCGUCUAGAUAAUUUUAAAUAAAAAACUGCCCCAUUAGCAGGCCUACUCUAGUCAAACACUUGAAUCUCACUUCUUAAUUUGGGUAGCUCUCCAAAUGCUUCACUAACCUCUCUUCAAUUGUUGGGUACAAUGGGUCAAAGAACAACCCUAAUAAGCUAGUGUAAUUCUUAUAUUGAGGGUAGAGAGGCUACUAACUGUUGAAAAAAGUUGGGAGGCUAAGAACAUUAGAUGAUCCGCUGGCUCAAAAAAUAUCCUGCCAGAUCAAUCCCUCCCUCUACACCUCGUACAUGGCACUGCCUUGGUUGAGUGGUGCCCAUCAAGUAUCAUCCCACUCUCGGUCUCUCCUCUCUCUCUCUCUCUCUCUCUCUCUGAAUCCCACCUGAAUCAACAAAUCUCAAAAUUUGUCAGAGAUCAUCUGGUGGUGUUGACCUUGUUGAUUCCAUUUAGAAGUGAAUAGCCAUCAGAUGUCCCAUACCCAAAUAAACAAGAAAAAUUUUGUUGUGGGACACUCCACUUAUGUGAAAUUGGCUGUAGGGUACUGAAAUAUUUUUUUUUUGUUAUGGGACACUAUUUUUUUUUUGUAGUACACCCCCCGGUAGAGCAAAUAAAAAAUUACAGUAUCCCCAACAAAUGGGACACCGAAACAAGUGAUCCACAGACGACUCCUUCCCACAAAACUUACAUACUGUUGUUCCAUCCCAGUUCCUUCUCUUCUGUUGUCAAGCAGUUCGGAUUCUAUCAUGCUAAGCCUCCAUAAAAAAUGUUUGAACCUUCAGAAGGAUUUUGGAUUUCCAGAUCUCCAUCAUUCUAACAUCAACCACUCCACUAAAGGUGAUAUAUCCGUACAGGCUUCUAGUGAAAAACUUUCCUGACUUCUCUAAUUUCCAAGUACACUAUCAUCCUCUUCUGACAAACUGACACUCCGCCAUAGGCUCAACAUGUCAGUCAUGACACUUGGCCCACGAACUACUGGACUAGCGUAUAACCGAUUGGUGGCUCUUCUUCCUCCUCCCUUUGUCUCGCUCGCUGCUCUAGGACUUUCAUGGCGGCACCGGUUACAGUUGCAGAUUGAGCGCAAGGAGAAGUAAAGGAUUAUUGCAGGCAUAAUUACGAAAUACUCGUACAAAGACAUGAAUAUCACAUUACAAAGUGCAAAUUACAGUUUAGUUUUGGAAGGUAGUACACCAGUACUAUAAAACAAGGGCAUUCUGGCAUAACACGUUCGUAUAACACACUGCAGGACGCAAACACAUCUGCACACGCACAGUAACUUCACUAUACAGAACAUAGUGUCGGAUUAUUCAGAUAUCGGAGGUCCAGUACCCAUCACAGCACAGCAACAGCGACAGGUGACGUUAAGCAGGUAGCCAUGGAUCACAUGACAGAGCACGAGUUCUCGUCGGCGACAACAUUGCAGCCUGCCCACGGUGGAGGCCAGACCGGCGGCUGCGGUGGCCAGACCGGCAGUGUCUGGCCGCAGCCACAGCUACCGUGGCUCGAACAGGUGCACGGUGGCCGCUGCGGCGGUGCCGGCGGCGGCGAAGGAGGCUUCUGGCAGCACUGGCACUGCUGGUGAGGAGGGCACUGCCACGGCCAGCUCUGGCACAUCCCAGGGUUCGGCACCAGGUACGGGUACGGCACGAACUUGUACUCCGUUUUGGGCGUCGCCGCCUUAGGCUUUUCCUCAGGCUUAGGCUUUUGCUCCUGCUUAGGCUUGGGCUUGCAGUGAUCACAGACACAGCAUUUCUCAGGCUUGGGCUUGCAGUGGUCACAGACACAGCAUUUCUCAGGCUUGGGAUUGCAAGGAUCGCAUGGCUUGGGUGGCUUGGGUGGAAUCGGCCAGACGUCCACGAUGAUGAUCUCCUUCACGACCUUACUCCCGGCCUUGCACCAGACCUUCUUGCAGAGCUUCUCGGCGUCGAAUUUCCCGCGCACCACCACCACCUUCUUCUCCUUCUUGUCCUCGAACUCCACCUUCUCGAUGCAGAAUUCCUCUGCACAUCAAUUGGAAAACAAAAGAUAAUUUGACUGCCCGAUUUGUUGUUGCAAGCACAGAUCAGAAUUCUGCCUCGUAAGCUAGUAGUUACAGUCUUAAUUAUGGUUAUUUAAUUAAACGCAGGAUUGUUCGGUAAUCUUCACGUUUCAUAUUAUGCCUAGACUGUGUGUGCUAAAACGUUUUCAGAUUCAGAUUGAUCAUUUGGUUUCAGAAGAAUCUUGCAAAGCAAGAUUGUUCAUACUUUCCUCUGCAAAACUGGGAAGCCCCAACGUCUUACCUUUAUUUGUUUCUUUCUUUAUUUUGUGAAAAUACGUUGCACUACAGCUUGAAUGAUAUCAGUUUCUUGGAGCAAGGAUUGUUCGUGGUCGUACUCUGCUUUCAUUCUAGGUCCAUAUGAAUGGCUGUAUUGUAUCUGUCUACAAUUGCAUCAUGGAAGUAUUCCCAUCUUUAUAUAGAUAGUAACAAAAAUGUACCUUUGAGACAGUCGAGGACUUUGGUGAUCUUGGCUCUACAGCGACAGCAGUCUAGGUCCACCGUAAUCACCAGUAUACCCAUCUGCAAACAAACAUGCAUGUGAAACAAAUAGUAUUGGCGAAUUGCCGAACAGAAAGUAGCAGAGCAUCAGCACAGCUCCUGCCAUCCUUUCAAGUGAAAAUCUAUGCUUUGGUAACGAUCUGAAACGAAAUGCUUCUUUUUCUG
Molecule: long non-coding RNA, 45038 nt
Filed under: Sorghum bicolor (sorghum)
Lineage: Eukaryota; Viridiplantae; Streptophyta; Magnoliopsida; Poales; Poaceae
Description: long non-coding RNA (SBIC_LNC011082)
Source: RNAcentral